CAAAGUCGUGAGGCGAACAACAAACAAUGAUCAUCCAUCCUCGUACCACUGCCUAAACACAAUCUCAUCGAGGAAAGGGGAAUAUGCCCCAGUGUAGAUAUCUGAUGUACAAUAAAGAGUCUGUCAAAAUCAACCAAUCAUCUCCAUAACCAUGAAUAAAGAUAGUCACACCGUCUAAUAACAGAUAGGAAUCUCGGAGGAAGGGGGAAAUAUGCGCUAGUGUGGAUGCCCAAUGCACGACAAAAUGAUGAAUCUGAUAUCCUCAAUGGGCUAUCUCCAAACCCAAAAAAUCCAUCAAACAUCAAUAUGCUAAGCAAAAGAGAAACCAAAUGCUUUCAAAAGUAUUUUCCAUAAAAGAGAACAUAGUAACGACUAUACUUCAACCAAUCUACAAAAGCCUGUCCAAGUGAAGACUGUCAAAGAUAACAUCUGAUCUCAUGGCCUUAGGGUGGUCUUAAGACACGGGACAUAACGUAGGCCAAGGUGAUAGGGUGAAAGAAAUGAAAGGAAACUAGGCUCAAAUACCCAAUGAUCAAACCCAUACCCUCGUGUACAAGAUGUAAUGCAUAGAAAAAUCUCAUGAGUCAUGGACUUAGAAGUAACCAAAGGGAAUGUUGAUAGCGAAAUGAGAGAAAUGAUGAAGGGUCAAACCAUCAAUGAAAUAUGUGAAUGAUGUGAAGAAGGUAUCAAAUCAAUAAUGGGUAUCAAUAUGUAGGGAAUGAAUAAAAGGUCGAACAAAGAUCUGGAAAGAGGUAAUGGGAUACAAAAGAAAGCAAUGAGAAAGUGAAAUGAGUGAUGAUCAACCCAUGUUAGUACAAUAAGAGAAAGUCAUAUCACCAAUGAUGGAAUGGUGAGUAUAAGACAAUGAUCCGGAGACCCUAGUAAAAAGGUCACUCAUCUCUCAUACCUAAUAUAUGUCAAUCAUGAUCCAAGCAGCAUAGGAUCUCAUAAAACUCCCACAUGAACCCUCGACACUCCAAAUGCAUAACAAGAGUGACUCAAGGAGUGAAAAACUCAUAAAAACCCUCAAUGACAAAUAUACCCAAUAAAUGAACCUCAACAGGUGGCAUAAAUGGCCAAUGGAAUGAGAUACCAUACAUGUGCAUAUCAUUGCGUUUUUUUUUUUUUUUUUGCGCAUGCUCUAAUCAUCAAUAAAUCAAACUCCAAUGGGAAAAAUAUAAGGAAUAAACAAACUCUCUCAAAUCACUGAUGAAUACAUAAGCCCUAUCCCAUGAGAUAAUCUCUCAAACCAAAAUCUUCGAAUCAAUGUCAGAUGAUGGGAUGAAUAGAGUGAUAUGACUGUCCUUUUUGCACUAAGAUGUGAAGAAUCAUCAACCCCAGGAAGAGAAUAGAUAAGAUGAGACAAAUAAUGAUGAAAACAAGAAAGAGAAUGAAUAUGUGGUGAUAAUAAAAUAAAACAAAUGGGGUGAUAAGGAUAUGAUAGGAAGAAAUAGAAGAUAGGCCUAUAAGUCUAAAGCUCAUGAGAUUUUCCUAGCAAAGCAUGCAUAUACAUCAAAGGGCCCCAACCCGGGUAUAGAAAUGGUAAUCAAAGCUAUAAGAAAGAAAUAAGGUUAUAACAUACCAUGCGAAGCUCAAUGGGCUAGCAACGGUCUAAUAUAUAGAGGUGAUAAAGUAUGAGGCUAACCAAAAUGAUGGCCACCCAUCCUGCGACCACGGUGUCAAACAUAAUACUUCUUUAGCUGAUCCACAUUGGUAGGCUCUGAAAAUUGGUUUCCAUCUAAGUCUGUCAACCAUGCAGCCCCUUCUGGAGUCAACUCUCGGAUAACAUAAGGUCCACUCUAACUAGGUCUAAACUUUCCUCUAGGGUCUCCAAUCAAGCCUCUAAGAAUCCUCAAAACUAAGUCCCCUUUUUGCAAUGGUCUAGGCUUAACUCGUUUCUUGAAGGCACGAGCCAUCUUUCUCUGAUAGGCUUGAACAUGAUCUGCCACUCUCAAUCUGCUCUCAUUUAAAAGGUUAAGCUGAUCAAAUCGAGCUUGAGCCCACUCUGUCUCAGAAAUCUGCUGCUCAAGGGCUACUCUCAAUGAACCCAUCUCUAUCUCGACUGGCAAAACAGCCUCCAUGCCAUACACUAGAGAGUAAGGCGUAGCUCCUGUAGAAGUACGAAAAGAGGUACGAUAUGCCCACAACGCAAAAGGAAGCUUCUUUGACCAAUCUCGAGAAGUCUCAACCAUCUUCCUCAAAAUCCUCUUAAUAUUCUUGUUUGCAGCCUCUACUGCCCCAUUAGUCUGUGGCCUAUAUGCAGAAGAUCUAUGAUGUCGGAUGCCAUACGUCUACAACAAAGUAUCUACCUCAGCUCGGAAGUGCACCCCUCUGUCGGAAAUCAACUCAUGAGGAACCCCAUAACGACAAAUGAUGUGUGAUUUGUUGAAACUAGCAACCCUAGCGGAUGUCAACCUCGCAUAUGAUGCGGCUUCCACCCACUUGGUGAAAUAAUCUAUGGCAACCAGGAUGAACUCAUGACCACUGGAAGAUUUUGGUGAUACCUUCCCAAUAAUAUCAAUACCCCAUACUGAAAAUGGCCAUGGCGAGGUCAAAGUGUGUAACUCUGAUGGUGGUGCAUGUAUGAGAUCACCAUGAAUCUGACACUUUGGGCAUUUCUGAACAAACUGACAACAAUCUGUCUCCAUAGUCAACCAGAAGUAACCCGUCCUCAUUAUCUUACGGGCCAGCAUGUGUCCUCCCAUAUGCGGACCACAAACUCCUGCAUGAACCUCUCUCAUCACCCAAUUUGCAGAGGCUCGAUCUAAACACAAAAGAAGCAUACCAUCAGCUGAUCGUCUGUACAAGGUAUCUCCACAAAUCACAAAUCUAGUGGCCAAAUUCCUUAGUGCUCUCCUAUCCUUGGCAGUGGCUACCUUAGGGUAUGUGCCAGAUCUAAGAAACUGAUAAAUGUCACGAUACCAAGGUAGAUCAUCCUGGACCUUUGUUUCUCCAAUCAAACAAUAGUAGGCGGGUGCAGACCUCAACUCAAUCAGCAACGGAUGUAUAACUACAUCAAUCGGAAUGUCCACAAAAGAAGGUAGGGUAGUUAAGGUGUCAGCAAACCAGUUUUACGCUCUAGGUAGAUGAACAUAUCUCAAGUCAUCAAAUCUCGCAACCAGCAACUCCAAAUAAGCGUGAUAUGACCUAAGCUUCACAUCCCUAGUCUUCCAAUCCCCUUGAAUCUGUCUAAGUACCAUAUUGGAGUCACCAAAUACCUCAAUCUGUCUAAUGUCAAGCUCCAAUGCAGUCUCUAAACCAAGGAUGCAAGCCUCAUACUCAACUAUGUUAUUCGUGGCGGGAUGUCGAUCAGAGAAUGCCAAACGAACAGACCUCGAAAUAUGAUCACCUUGAGGGGAUACCAACAGAACACCUAUCCCAUACCCUGACUAAUUGGCUGCACCAUCGAAGUACAUGCACCAUCCUGAUAAGCUGGCCAUAGCAACAAACUCCUCAUCUGGAAAAUCAUCAUCAACUGGUCUAUCCUCAGAUGUCGGUAGUGAGGCUAGGUGAUCGGCGACAAUACUUCCCUUAAUAGACCUCUGAGAAACAUACUGGAUAUCAAACUCUGUCAAAAGUACGAGCCAUCUCAUCAGUCUGCCAGUCAAUGCAGGUCUAUCAAAUAAGUAUCUCAAUGGAUCUAGGCGGGAUAUCAAAUGCACUGAGUACUCCGUCAUGUAAUGCCUCAAUCUCCUGGUAGCCCAAACUAGUGCUAAGCAUAGGCGCUCAAUCAUUACAUAUUUCACUUCAUACUCCAACAUCCUCUUAUUCAAGUAGUAGAUAGCCCGUUCCUUUCCUGAGUCAUCAAUCUGAGCUAACAUACAUCCCAAGGCCAUGUCUGAAACUGACAAAUAUAGAAGAAGUGGAUGUCUUGGCAUAUGAGGCACUAAAACAGGAGGAGAAAGAAAAUACUCCUUGAUCUUCUCAAAUGCAAACUAAUAGUCAUCAUUCCAAACUGUUGGCUGAUUCUUCCUUAAAAGACGAAAGAUAGGCUCACAUAUGUCUAUCAAUCUGGCUAUGAAUCGAUUGAUGUACUGUAAUCUGCCUAGAAAACUCCUGAUCUCUUUCUCAGUCUUUGGUGCAGGCAUGUCAAGUAUGGCUUUAAUUUUAUCUGGGUCAACCUCUAUGCCUCUCUCACUGACCAUAUGUCCGAACAAUUUCCCAGAAGUCACUCCAAAGGUGCACUUCUUGGGAUUCAACCUCAAUCUAAACUUCCGGAUCCUCUCAAAGAAUCUCUCUAGAGCAUCUAGGUGAUCUGCUCUACCUCGGGAUUUCACAAUCAUAUCAUCUACAUACACUUCAACAUCCUUAUGCAUCAUGUCAUGAAACAAAGUAGUAGCGGCUCUCUGAUAAGUGGCUCCUGCGUUCUUUAACCCAAAUGGCAUAACCCUGUAACAGUAGGUACCCCACUCAGUAAUAAAGGCUGUCUUCUCCAUAUCUUCUAGAGCCAUCAAAAUCUGAUUAUACCUUGAAAACCCAUCCAUGAAAGACAACAUCGAAUGGCCUGCGGUGCUAUCAACCAACAAAUCAAUAUGUGGGAGAGGGAAGUCAUCUUUGGGACUGGCUUUAUUAAGAUCUCUGAAGUCCACACAAACUCUAACUUUGCCAUCUUUUUUGGGUACUGGGACGACAUUAGCCAACCACUCUGGAUACUCAACCACUGAUAUGAACCCAACACUGAGCUGUUUCUAAAUCUCCUCUUUUACCUGCAGACUCCAACGUGGGUGCAACCGUCUCAAUUUCUGCUUAACUGGUCUGACACGUGGUAGGGUAGGUAAAUGGUGCUGGACUAUAGAGGGAUCGAGACCUGGCAUGUCCUCAUAAGACCAUGCAAAUACAUCCAAGUAUGACCUGAGUAAAUGAAUAAGUCUAUCUCUCUCAUCUGUAAAUAGGGGUGAACCAAUCUUCAGCUCUCUAGGCUGAUCAUCUGUGCCAAAAUCAACAGUUUCAACGUCCCCUGUAGCAAGUGAAACUCUCACAUCUAUGGGAUCGGAGUCAUGGUCAAAAGAGUCUCUAUCUGAACCGGGCUGCGCAAUCUCAUCAUCUAUAUCAAAUAUCUGUGAAAUGGAUGAGUGAGGUGCAGAUAUAGAGAUACUAUCGCAAGAGACAGGUGAAUACUAAAAAAUGCUCAAAUCCAUAAAUGAAGCAAUAGAAACAUCGUCAGAGCGAGAGACAAAUCCCGAUAAAACAUCAAAAGAAAGAGGUGGGUCCACAAGGUUGGACACUCCCUCAACUAGGCUAACAAUGCCCUCAAAUAAACUACUAUCAUCCUCUAGAAGCUCUGGAACAAGAAGAGUCUGAGUCCCCUCAAGAACCUCAAUGGUAGACACCCCAAACAUAUCAAAUGCUGAAACAGGCUGAAGCUGAACAAUGUUGGUAAUCUGGCUCACGGUCAUCAUGUCCAUCUCAUCUCGGUAGUCAUCAUGGGGAACAACUCCAUCAAUCAUCUCAGUAGGAUCAACAAUCACCCUAUCAUCAGUGAUAUCCUCUGGAAAAUAUAGAGAUAACAUGCUAGCUCGAUCUGGAGAUGUAGGAGUAGCCAUAGAAACAGAAGCGCCAUGACCCCCAUCACUCAACUGUAACUGGUGAAAUAGAUGCUGAAGCUCAAUCUCUCUAUCUGUAUGAACCACACUAUCAAUCUCCUCUAGACGAGGUCGAGUCUCUGAUCCUCUGACAAAGUAGUUAGCCAAACUCAUCCUAUAGGGUCAAAUAGGAUAAUCAAAUGGUGUGUGGGAUAAACGGGCUCUCACCCUCUCCUUGGGCAGUAGUGCCAUGUAACGGUAAUCAGCCUCAGUGGGGAUGAAUCCAAGUCCAAAUGUCGUAUCAUGGUCAAUGGCAGCUAUGAACUCACUCGGUCCUUGCUGACGUCGUCCUAACCCCAUGCCAGGUAGAAAAGUCAUACUCCUCAUCAUAUCAAGGACCACUAUGCUACUAUGCUGAUCAAAUGACAUAGCCACAAAGUUUCUACAAAAAUCUUCAAUCUCGAGAGUCUGUAUCUCAUCAAAAGUAAACCCAGUCAGAAGUAGGUCGUCCUCACUGUGACUGAUUUGAAGUACUGGCUCAGAAGCGAAAAAUAUAUCCCUGGUAGAGUGCACUAUGAUGACCUGCCCAUCAUGAAUAAACUUCACCUUUUGAUGAAGGGAAGAAGGAAUAACUCUAACUAUAUGAAUCCAUGGUCGGCCUAGUAGCAGGUUAAAGGAUGUAGGAAUCCUCAAAACUUGGAACAAAGUAGAGAAUGUGGCUGGACUAUUCUGCAAAUCAAUCAUCAAGGUACCCAUAACCUUCCUCUUGGUACUGUCAUACGCCCUGACUGUCUGAGUAGAAGGACCAAAAUCUGAAGGCGCGAAACCAAGGGCUAUAGCAGUGGCUAAAGGGCAAACAUUCAAGGCUGAGCCGUUGUCCAGUAGGACAGACGGGACUCUACGGCCUGAACAUCCAAUUGUGAUGUAUAGAGGGCGUAUGUGGUCUAAACCAUCAGGUGGCAAGUCAUCAUCUGAAAACACAAUGCAAGUGGCCCUACCAACCGUCAUCAUAUGAAUCAAUCUCUCAAGAGUGGUAGUAGUCUUUACUCUGAUCUGACUCAAGGCUCGAAUCAAAGCAUCUCUAUGAGUACUGGAUGAUGCUAAUAAACUCUAGAUGGAAAUGCGAACCUGAGUGUUUUGUAGCUGUCUCAAAACCUCAUCAUCCUUUCUUCUAAUCUCCUUAUGAGAGGUUGCACCCUCAAAUGGUCUGACUGCUGGUGGUGGUGGCUGAGCUAUCCUCCCACUACGAGUCACAAUCUGUACCUCUCUCCCCUCUGAAUCAUCGUCCUCUGGCCAUAAAGUGAAAGAGACAAAAACAUCCUAACAUCUGAUAACUAAGGGUGUAGGAUGAGUCAACUGGAAUGGUGCCUCGUCCGGGAUCAAACUGAAUGGUGCAGGAGUCUGAGGGACCAAUGAAACCCCAUCAAUCUCAUAACUAUCAUGCAAAACAAUCGGCUCGAGUAAUCCAUCAUCCCAACUCUACAUGUGUAUACCGUCAUCCUCUAUAAGACCCAUGUGAUGAAUAUCUCCUGAAGAUGGAGACACUGCGUGUGUAGAAUGAGCAAGAAGAGGGUUCAUAGUCACACUUAGCUACCCCAAGUUAACCAAACCCUGGUCUAUCAAGUCCUGUAUAGCAUGUCUCAAAGCAGUGCAAUGGUCCGUGUCAUGCCCUGGUCCAUGAUGGUAGGAACAAUAUAAGUCCAUCCUAAAGCGAGGUGGUAUGGGCUAGGGUAAAGGCUUGGAUGCUAAUGGAGUCAAUAAUCCACCCUCUGCGAGCUUCUGAAAAGCUUGACUCAAAGGCAUACCCAACUGGGCAAACUGACGUGGUGGCCUCUACACAUAAGUAGUGGUCUGUGGAGCUUGGGGUCGAGUAUAUGGGGCAGGAGGCCUCUCUGUGACAUGUGCAGCAAAAACAGGCUGUGAGACUGGAUGUAGAUAGGUAGGAGUCAUAGGUCUACAAGGAGUAGGCGGCCUGUAAUGCGCAUGAGGUGAUGGUGGAUAGUAGAACUCAGGAGUCUGCCCAACUGUCUGAUAGCGUCUAGGAGGCCUCAUCCCUGCUGAACUGAUAGCACCAACAUCUCCUGAUCUCUGUCCUCUUGAAGGCUUCUUCCCCUUAGAAUCAGUAGGGGAGGACUUAGACCAUAAUCCUCUAGCAAUGCCCUCCUCUAUGCUGUACAGGGCCUGUACCAAGGAUCCAAAAUCCGUAUGAGGAAAUCCCAUCAAAUGUUUAGCAAAUCUAGGCUGUAAACUCCUCAAAAUCAUACUAACCCAAUCACUCUCUGAAGGACGGUGUAUAAUCUGUGAAAUAUUUUCCCUCUAGCGGGAGAACCGGCCUCUGUCUCAAAGCCUCCAACUUUCUCCUCGAAACAUCAAUGACAAUGUUAAAUGCAAACUGUCUCAAAAACUCAUGGGCUAAGUCAUCCCAAGUCCUACGACAUGAUACCUCUAAUGAAGCGAACCAACGCUGUGCAGCACCACUCAAUGACAUAGGGAAAAACAUAACCAUCUGGGCCUCAUCCAGUCCAUGGGUUCUCAUAACCGUACUAUAGAGUCUCAAAUGGAUACGAGGGCAUCCUACGCCUGUGUAUCUCUCAAUCUCGGGCAUCCUGAAUUUGGUCGGUAGACUGGCCACUGGUGCUCCAUCAAAAUCCUCCCAAGUAAUAGCUGCCUCUGAAGUCCUCAUCUGUCUCAACUUCUGCUCAAGUCUGUCCAUACGAGUAUGUGGGUCCUUUGAGAUCGGGGUAGGCAUUAUGGCAGGAGGUGGUGUGACCUCAGUCUGACUAUGCAGAGUAAAAGGUACAGUCUGUGUUGCUGGCUGACUGUGCAGAGGUGGUGGUGGUACUGUGGUAUCAAACUAGGUAUCCUCCUGAACUAGGACCUGUUGGGCCUGUUGUCCAUCUAUCAUCUGACCAAGAUUAGCUAUAGCUUCCUGGAUAGAAGCCAUGGCUGUGGCAAACUGGUCAACGGUAACUACCUGUGAGUCCAUAUCCCUUUGAUCUGAUCUCUGAUCUGACUGAUCUGAUGCUCUGGUCAAUCUGCCUCCAACUCUAAUCCACGAAGGCGGAUCCAGAAUGGUCACGAUAAACUCUCCUACAAAUAUGGAAAUACUGGAUAAGGUGUAGUACGAAGGCGACUCUGUAUGAAUCAGCUGAUAAACGUGCAAGAAAAUAGCCCAAAUGUACUCAAUUUGAUACCCUCCUUUGAUUACACCAAAAAGGAGACUAAGGAAGGGAUAACCGAAUCCAAUCGUGACCAAGGCAGCUCUGAAGGUCCACAGAUGCACCCACGUGUAGGAGUGAAAUCUUAAUCGGCUCUAGGCUAACUUACAAGGUUAAAGCGACUCUAUAGGAUAAAAUGGGUGGGUCAAAGGAUCCCUAGCAGAAGCGAUCAUACCCUCCGACGAUACGUAACCCUCUACACGCUUCUAAGGAGACGGGGUGCUUCCAUGCAAGGUGGUCAUUACCUCCACACAUGCACUUCUUCGCGUUCCCAAGGGGUUUCUUAAAGGUGAAGGCUCUCCCAUCUCUCAACACUCAGGGAUAAUCUAUAGUGCACAAUGAAGGAUGUGGGUACAUUCGAAAAACCUAAGAUCUAAAGUGAGAUAGUGAACAAAGACAAGCAAUCAUACAAUCAUGCAAAAGAAAGGGCUGUCAUGCAACAAGCAGUCAUGCGAAGCAGAUAAAUAUCAAACAAUCAAAAUCCUAUCUAACAUAUGCGAGAGUGAAUCAUGAUGAAGUGAGCAAAACAAUCAAGUGAUCAUCCAAGGUAAUCAAACAUGUUAGGAUAGCAAACCAAACAGGCAAGCAAAUCAAAUCAUCUUGCCCAAAAAAGAGGUACCCACUAAUCGACCAAUUAAAUGCUCAGCUAGUGUUCAAGCUUGAUCCUCAAAAUCCCCAGCGGAGUCGCCAAUUUGUGGACUCGCAUUUUUCACGUGCGCCCCCACUCGAUCGACGAGACUCGCUUUUUAUUUGUGAAAAAUUAAUUUUGGAAAAAGUUGGAGUCGCCACUUAUUUUAUUUUUAUUUUAAAGGGAAAAUAAAACAAGAAAGAAAAACCCUAAAAUGUGACUCCAUAAUUUUUGGAAAAAACAUGUCUUUGAAAAACCCGAGUCUGAGUCCGGGGAUCAGGUUACUUAUUGGGAAGGUACCUCUAGGAGGCAGCACCCCUCUAAGCCCUAUAAAGGUCUCUACUAACAAAGUUAAGGGAAGUGUGGCCAUUAAUCAGUUAAUUAUGGAUACCUAAGUAGGCUAGGUGAUUUUAAAGAGUGGCAUGCCAAACACAAUCAAAUUGCAAUAAAGGAGAGUUAGGGUGCGUACUUGAACCACUCUUCAAGCGCUAUCAUACAACAUAAGAGUUAGCGUAGGAAUCUAUCACACAACAUAUGUCUUAUCCGGGCAAAUCUAAUAUAUAUUUAAACACCCAAGAAUCACAUCAUGCAUGGAUGUAGUCACCAAUAGCAUACGUGUCUGUAGAAUUCUCAAAAAAAGAUGAGAAGGAGCGUACCUGGAUAGCAAGCUAAAGCGCCUUUAUGGGAAGCAAGGUUAGCCCAAUAACAAAUAUAAAACAAAUUCUAGCAUAUCUCCAAGAGGAAAUCAAAAUCAAUUAAAUACCAAACAAUCACCUUUAAAAUCCAUAUUAGUGAAGAUAUCAAGAAUGUAGGACCCCCACCAAAGUCCAUAUUAAUUUUUCACGAAUUGAUUCAAUGAGUUCCAUUGCUUGGAAUCAUGAAGUUUGUUCAUGCUUGUUGAAAAUUGAGAAAAAUCAAGAAAAUCGGUUGAAAAUCAAAUAAAAUAGUGAAAAUGCAUGCUGGAAGGAAAAUGGCAGUAAGAGUGUGUUAGAAUAUGGAUUUUAUUCCUAGAAAAGGGCUUAAGAUGAAUUUUUCAAAACCAGGAAUGUUUAGUUGGACAAAGGUUCAAAAAUUCAAUUUAAAACAAUAAGUUCCCAAUCAAAGAAGCAAACAGAGGAGAAGAUGUGUAUAGCAAGGUUGCCAUGAAGUGAAGCUGGGAAAUUCUGGAUAGAAGGGACCAAUUCACUGCAAGAGUGUUCAAUUGUCAAAUGCUUCAACUUAAAAAGACAUCUUGAUUUGUAAGCUCAAUUGGAAGUUGAAUCGUUCUCCUCUUCCUUCUAGCGUCAGGAGCCGGGUGUGAAAUAUCCGGAGAAGGUGGAACGUCGGCCGGAUAGAAUGGCGGCUGUGAGACAUCCAGAGAAAAUGAGAUGUCGGCCGGGUGGAAUGGCGGUUGAGGCAUCCGAGUGGAAUGGCGGCUGUGAGACAUCCAGAGGAAAUGGGAUGUCGACCGGGUGGAAUGGCGGUUGAGGCAUCCGGGUGGAAUGGCGGCUGAGGCAUCCGGGUGGAAUGGCGGCUGUGAGACAUCCAGAGAAAAUGGGAUGUCGGCCGGGUGGAAUGGCGGCUGAGGUAUCCGGAGAAAAUGGGAUGUCAGUCGGGUAUGAUUGCGCUGAGAUAUCCGGGUGGAAUGGCGGCUGUGAGACAUCUAGAGGAAAUGGGAUGUCGGCCGGGUAUGAUUACGCUGAGAUAUCUGGGUCGAAUGGCGACUGUGAGACAUCCAGAGAAAAUGGAUUGUCGGCCGGGUGGAACGACGGCUGAGGUAUCCGGGUGGAAUGAGCAAUGCCAUAAACUAAGAACCCUCAAGAACUAUGGUAACCUCUGGAUCUGUUUAACUGCAUGAAAACUCAUUUUAGACAGCCUUUGUCAAGUUCCCACAUUUCUCGGAAUGCUCAUGGUCCCCAUAUCCGAGAAUACCAAGGUAAAGAAAGGGAAGAAAUGUAGAUAGAGAUGCACACAAAAAAACCAAGAAAGAAAAGAAGAGAAAACAGGGAAAAGAAAGAUGAUAGGUGGGUAAUAAGAAUAAGUCACAUUUUAUGCUUUUCAAAAUGGCUUGAAGAAUUGAACACAUUAAGACAAACUUAGUUCAGAUUAUACCAAUAUUUCACAAACAUUAAAGCUCAGCCAUAAAUCUCUGUUUCAGUUAUUUGUAGAAAGAAUCUAAGAAAUCAAGAAUACAAUCAUAACAGAGCAAGCUUGAAGGAAAUUUCGAUUCAACGACGUAAAUAAGUGGCCCUCAAUAUCCACUCCAAUCAGCAAGAAUAACAUCUCGAAAACAGCUAAAGAAUCUAGAGUGGAAUGUAAACGGGAAUACCAAAAAAAUCAAAAAAAAGAACAAGGAGCGUACUUGGCAAAUUCCUGGCUGCAAUCUCCCUUUUUCCUGCUCUUCUACGCCUUUCCACCCCUCACAAUCAAAAGAAUCUCUCUCUUCUCCCUUUCUUCUCUCAUGUAUAUAUGUCAGCCCCCCUCAUCACAAUCCAAAGAAUCCCCUAAAUAUGUUGGAGGAAAAUCCCCUCAUUCCUUCAUUUUGUAAUCUACUUUCCUUUCUUAUUUUCUUCCCUUUUAUGACUGAUUCUCCCAUGGAAAUAAUAUAUGUGUUAUUUUUCUAAAAACAAAAUCUUUUUUUUUUUUUUUUUCAAAAUUCUGUUGAUUUUCCUUCCAAAUAGAUGACGGCUCGUUUCCUCAUGCCCAAAAAGCCAAGAAAUAUGAUGUAGAAAACUUGUAAUAAGAUAAAAUAAAAUAAAAUAAAAAUAAUAAAGAAAUCCAUAUAAGCCACACAAGUCAUGUAGGCCAUGCAAUCAUGCAAGUCAUAUAAAAAGUGGGUUUAAAAGUGCUUAAAUGGGCCUAAGUGAACUAAGCCUAAUGAAGUGUUUAAGUGGGCCUAAGCAGACUACCCUAAAAGCUAUCAUAAAAAUGACUGAAAAGCCUAACUCUAAAAUAGGGUUGCCAAAGGUCACGAUAAGGGGUCAGACAAUCCCUCAACUAAUGUCUUCGAGGUGACUCAGAAAAAGGUAAGCCGUAUGAGUAGUAAUGGGCCACCAAGGAGUUAUUAUGGAGCAUUAAAAAAAAUGAAUUUAAAGACAUGUGCUAAAGGAACAAAAUUGAGGGUCUACAUUAGCCUUCUAGAUGAGAGGAGAUUGAGGGCAGCAGAUCAUGUUCAGGCUUAUCAGAGGAAGAUGACCCGUGCAUUCAGAAAGAGGGUUAAACCUAGGAAAUUUCAGAAGGGUGACUUAGUCUUGAAAGUCCUCAGGGGAUUGAUCAGUGAUCCUAGAGGCAAGUUUAGACAGACUUGGAGCGAGCCUUAUGUUAUUCGAGAUUUGACUCGAGAGGGAGCCGUCUGGUUGAUGGACCUAGACGAAAAUCAGUUUACGGAGCUAGUCAAUGUGGAUCAGCUGAAGAAGUUUUAUGCAUGAGAUCAUGGUCAGAGGAUAGGUGGCCAUCAUUUUUGAGUAGCCAUUUUCCCUGUUGCACACCCACACAUUGAUAUAUCAUAUUGCUAGCCUAUUGAGCCUUAUGCGGUUUGUUAUGGCCUAUUCAUUCAUUUAGCCUUGCAUACCUUUUCUCACUUGGGUUGGGGGCCUACCCCUAUGUUCUUUGCAUUUAUUGAUUGGAUCUGUGAGUAUCAUGAGCUUUGUGUCAUUGUUCAUGUGUUCUUUCUUUGGUCAUUCAUGGUUUCUUCUUUCGUCCAUCGUGCAUUUUCAUUUUGCUUGCCUUUGAGUUCUUCUUCUAUCAUCUCGACUCUAUUCGCUUUUUUUUUUCUCUUAUGUGAUGAUGACACGCUCUUGUCCCGGAGCUACAGGUCAAGCCUGUCACAUAUUUCAUUCCACAUGUAGGCUUUGAUCCAGGAUUCUUAGGUUGAGGGACCAUUUGGGAUGAGAGGUUUGAGGUUCUUUUGCUUGGACUAUGCUAGUGUGGCAUUUAGCUAGCUUUGGUUGUUCGGCGCAAAAAAAAAAAAAAAAAAAAAAAGGUGCUUGUUUGGUAUUUGUUGUUAUACUUGGGAUCAUUAGAGGUCAUUUGGGUUUGAGAGAUUUAUUAUUCCUCUGAGAGUUGGGUGAGAGCAUUGUACAAUCCUUCUCCAUGGAUCUGGGUGACACAUUGGGAGUGAGGUUUGGGUUUCUUUGGAACUCGGUCCUCUAGAUCAUUGUUUACAUCACCUUCCCCAUCUUACAGUGACUUGCUUCGGUUUGGCAUUCUUGGGAUGAGUUGUUCAUCAUUGUCACAACUUGCUACAUUUCUAUCCCAACUUGUUCCUCCAUUUUCUACUACAUCCAUUCAUCAUUUGUCUUAUCCCUUUUCGUCUUCUUCUAUCCCCAUUCAUCAUUUGUCUUAUCCCUUUUCGUCUUCUUCUAUCCCCAUCGAACGUCGUCUUGCUUUAUGAACGAUGAGUUCUUUGGUGCACAUCACCUAUCGUUUGACGUUAUUCAUUUGGAUGUAGGUUGAGUCACCUUGCUCACAUGAUUAUGUGAUGUUUGGCAUUGUGUACAGGGGUUUGGCAUUUAGUUAUUGGGUAUUUGGGCCUUUCUUUCCCAUCAUUUCAUUCACCUUUUACCCAUGGCCUACAUUACGGUCCGAGUCGUAAGACCACCUUGAGGCCAUGAGAUCUCGUGUCUACUUCGACGCGGUUCAUUCGGACAAGCUCCAUCUACUGAUUGAGUACGGGAUGUCGACAGGUCUCCAUUGCUUUGAGGAAUAUUAAGGGUCACAUAUUGCAUUUCCAUUUAGUUUGCUUGCCUCAGGUCCAUGAUCAGAGGCAGAUGAUACAGAGAGUUGGGACCGUUGAAGGCGCCUUUGCUUGAUGCUUUGACAUGUUCAUACUGGGGCAUACCCCUAUCCUUGCAUGCUGGCUUCGACUCUUACACAUGUACGCAGGCAGUUCGUUUCGCUUAGAGAUGUUUUGGAUAUCAGAGUUUGAGUAAGCCCCACGUUUAGCUUGGUUUCUUCAUACAAUAGAGUGCUUCUAGGAGCUGACCUGAGAUCAAAUUCACGGUAUUCAUUGACCUAGCAGGGGUGUGCACAUCGGGGCAUACCCCAUUCAUUGUCUUGUUCGCUAGCUCAGACGAUUGGGUCUUCAGUGAUGUAUUUCAGAGUUUUCAUUGAGAUAUUUAAGUUUUGGAUGUACACAUUAGGGCAUACCCCUAUCGGUUUUUUUGUGCAUAUUGGAUGUUAUGGAUUAUAGUGGAGGGUUUUUCCUUAGGGAUGGAUGUUUGUGAUAUUUUCAGCUUUUUGACUUUGACUCUAUGUGCACUUGCGGGUUUCUAACAUGGUUUUGAUGCCUUAGACUGGGGCAUGACCCUUUCUUAGCACAUUUGGUCAAGUUUAAGAGUUGUCAUACAGGGACAUACCCCCCAUCUUUCUAUCUUGUUGGUGGGGUUAUUCAUUUCUUGUUUUUCGGCAUUUUCUGAUGUCAUACUAGGGCAUACCCCCUUUCCUUCACCAUGAUUGACGGGUUUGACUUUUCGCUUAUUUGAGUCAUUUAUUGACAUUUUUCGGACGCCACACUAGGGCAUACCCCCUCUUUCAUGGUGCCAUUGCUUUUCGUUUCCUUUCAUUUCGACGGCCCUCCGUCAUUGUGCCUGGAUCCUCUAGUCAUUCGACGGCUCUUCGGCAUCGUGCCCGGAUUUCCUUUCAUUUCGGCGGCUCUUCGACAUCGUGCCUAGAUCCCCUAAUCAUUCGACAGCUCUUCGGCAUCAUGCCUGGAUCCCCUAGUCAUUUCGGUGGCUCUUCGGCAUCAUGCCUGGAUCCCCUAGUCAUUCAGCGGCUCUCCGGCAUCGUACCCGGAUCCCUUGGUCAUUUGGCUGCUCUCCGGCAUCGUGCCCGGAUCCCCUAGUCAUUCAGCGGCUCUCCGGCAUCGUGCCCGGAUCCCUUGAUCAUUUCGGCGGCUCUUCGGCAUCGUGCCCUUAGUCAUUCGACAGCUCUCCAGCAUCGUGCUUAGAUCCCCUAGUCAUUUCAGCGGCUCUCCGGCAUCAUGCCCGGAUCCCCUAGUCAUUCGGCAGCUCUCCAGCAUCAUGCCCGGAUCCUCUAGUCAUUCGGCGGCUCUCCGACAUCAUGCUCGGAUCCCCUAGUCAUUCAACGACUCUCUGGCAUCGUGCCCUGAUCCCCUAGUCAUUUCAGUGGCUAUCCGGCAUCGUGCCCGGAUCCCCUAGUCAUUCAGCAGCUCUCCGGCAUCGUGCCCGGAUCCCCUGAUCAUUUCGGCGGCUCUCCGGCAUCGUGCCCUUAGUCAUUCAACGACUCUCCAGCAUCGUGCUUGGAUCCCCUAGUCAUUUCAGCGGCUCUCCGGCAUCAUGCCCGGAUCCCCUAGUCAUUCGGCAGCUCUCCGGCAUCAUGCCCGGAUCCUCUAGUCAUUCGGCGGCUCUCUGGCAUCAUGCUUGGAUCCCCUAGUCAUUCGACGACUCUCUGGCAUCGUGCUCGGAUCCCCUAGUCAUUUCAGUGGCUAUUCGACAUCAUGCCUGGAUCCCUGGCCAUUUCGGUGGCUCUUCGGCAUUGUGCCCGGAUCCCUUAGUCAUUCGGCGGCUCUCCGGCAUCGUGCUUGGAUCCUUUAGUCAUUUCGACGGCUCUCUGACAUCAUGCUUGGAUCCCCUAGUCAUUCGGCGACUCUUCAACAUCGUGCCUGGAUCCCCUCGUCAUUUCGGCGGCUCUCCGGCAUCAUGCCCGAAUCCUCUAAUCAUUAAGCAGCUCUCCGGCAUCGUGCCUAGAUCUCCUAGUCAUUCCGGCGGCUCUUCGGCAUCGUGCCCGAAUCCUCUAUUUUUCAGCAUCGUGUUUGAUUUUCUUUUAUCUUUCCCAGCAUCGCGCCCUGAUUUCCUUUGUUUUCUUCGGCAUCGUGCCCGGAUCCCCUAGUCAUUCCGGCGACUCUUCGGCAUCAUGCUCGAAUCCCCUAUUUUCUGGCAUCGUGUCCAGUUUCCUUUUAUCUUUCCCGGCAUUGCGCCCGGAUUUCCUUUGUUUUCUACGACAUCGCGCCUGGAUCUUAUAUCUCUCCCGAAAAUGCAUUCGGUUUUCUCUUAUCUUUUUUGGCACCGUGUCUAGAUUCCUUUAGCUUUCUCCGGCAGCGUGCCUGAGUCCUUUAGUCCUUCUGCCAUCAUGGCUCAUUCCCUUAGCCUCUUUAUGGUUGUGUGGGGACAAAAUUGUUGGUCAUUUGAAUUCUUCACUAGAGUUCAUUUCACUCAUUCAUUGCUUGCACUUUGGAUUCACGACUCACUCGUUCAUUCACUCUACUGAAGAGGGGCAUAUUUAUAGACCCUCAAUUUUGUCCCUUGACACUUGCAUUUUAUCCUAUGCGUGUCACAUGCAUCCAUGUUUUCAUAUGACCCCGCCAUGACCUCCUUUUGACCUUGAUCGGUUUCUAAGCCUUGUGUAGGUUCAUUUGCGGUCCAAUGUAGUGCAGGUGUGUAGUUCAUUUUGGAGUUCUGUCAUGGCCAAUUUCCCUAGUUGUUCACAUCAUGCUAUAGGGAAGGAAGUGAGGCCCCCCAAAAAUUUCAGUUCAGUUGGAAUUCAUAGGAGCAGGUCUGAAUUUAGAGCACUUGGGCUUGUUUUGAUCAUAUCUCCCUCAUCCUAACUUGGAAUCGCGCACGUUUUUUUAUGGACUCUUUAUUCUUCAAGGAACAUUCUUUCAAAAUUUCAAUUUUUUUUCUCAAUCGGCUCGACUAGUUCCCAAAGUUUCAGUUCAAUUGGAAUUCAUAGGAGCAGGUCCGAAUUUGGAGCACUUGGGAUUGUUUUGAUCAUAUCUCCCUCACCCGAAUCGGAAUCACACAUCGUUUUUUUUAUGGACUUCUUAUUCUUCAAGGAACAUUUUGUAAAAAUUUCAAAUUUUUUCUCAACCAGCUCAAUCGGUUCCCAAAGUUUCAGUUUAGGCAGACUUCAUUGAAGCAGGUUCGAAUUCGGAGCACUUGGGCUUGUUUUGAUUAUAUCUCCCUCAUUCGACCUCGGAAUUGUGCACUGAUAACCUGACUCUUGGUAGCUUGGCAUGUAAGGGUAUCAACAAAAUUUAUACCUAAGGUCUUUACACUAAAGUAGCAAAACUACUAUAGCAUAGUGGCUCUAGGAUCGAACACUGGGAAGAGUUUUUACUUUAACUGGUGAAGUUCGGAGGAUGUAGUGAACUUUUCUUAAUAAAAAUUAGGUUAAGAUGAAAACAUAAAAAAAUGAAGGUGUUGUAAACUAAACUAACAUGAAAAUAGGUUAAAAGAUGGAAAAAGAAGUUUCUCAAAGCUUUGGAUAGCCAUGCUUAACUCACUGUGUAAAAAUGGAGAUUUUAGGACUUUUCACCUCGAGUUGGGGAAGCAACUAAGGUGAUGCUUACUUCCCGAACCAGUAUGAGUUUAACAACUGAGUUUUAGUCCUUGAAAACUUACAAAAAGGGUAGCAAAAAAAAAAAACCUCAUAAAUGCUCUUUUAUUGGUAUAGGUCAUCUCCUCGACUUGCAAUACAAUGGCUCGUAGGAGAUAACUAAUGAACGUCAGUGGAUCUAACAAUAAGAAUCCACUGAGACCAAAAGGUUAUCAAUUAUUGACCAUUCAAAGCAAGUCAGAGGGAUUAAAAGCUUUACUUUGAAUGAAAACAUUUAUGACGCUCAGCUACUUACAUUUAUGGCUUGGAAAUCUCCAUCCUGACACGGGAGCUUCACAUGGCAUCCAUUACUUCAAGAAACUAAAAGGUUUUAGCCUCUCAUCCUUGGGGAUUUCAUCCUCCAAGGAUGUUUGGCUACUAAGAAAAUGAGAAAGAAAAGAGAAAAGAAGCGUAUGAACAAAAGUGCUCUUAUAACUUAUAAAGUUACAGGUUACAAGAUGAUCGUGUCUGAGGCUCUUCACCUCUAUUUAAAGACAAUAAAAAGCUAAAUUACAAGAGCUAUUACAAAAGCAACCUUUUCAUUGGUUGAUUACAAGGGUAAAAUAGGUAUUUACAAAGCUAAAAGUCAAGCAAAAUAUCUUGGAGAACCGGCAGUGGAAUAUCAUCAACAACGUCUCAAAACAGGGGAUUUCAAAGGCAUUUCGCAAGGGGGGAAGAUGAAAGGUCCAAAUUUCGCACCAUGAGGAAAAUCCCCUUGCAAAAUUUUGGCAAGGUGAAAUUCACCUUGCGAAAUGGUGUUCCCAUUGCUUGUUCUCGUGUUUCCACUUGAAAUUCAAGCCUGUAAACGUCCAAAAUCCUUGGUUAACUCGCCCAAGUAGCUCCUCCAUCAAUUGGCAUGCUUGAAUUGGUUCAAAAGCUGAUGAAAACAUGUAAACUUGCCACUAAAAAUGGUUAGAACUAAUUACUAAGGAGCUUAAUGAAUUAAUUGGGUUAAAUGAAUAUGAUUACUACUCAAAGGUGCUUAAAACCCUUAUAAUUAGGUCUACAAAAUAGCACUUUUCGAUAGUAAUCACACCCCCCAACCGACUCAUUGCUAGUCCCUUAGUAAUGGAGGAGAUAAAAACUAAGCAAACAUAAUAAUAUACAUAAAAGAGGUCAUGCAAAUCACUCCAAAAAAUAAUUGAGUGGCAUGACUGAUAUCAAAACACAUCUCACAUGGUGAACUAAAGAUAUGAAGAUUCAAAAUGCAAUAGGAGUUGUCAAAGCUAAAACUUAAACAAAAAGUACAAAGAGUGGAGAUUAUGCAAUUAAGUAUCAAAAGAAUCUCUACUCUCAAGGUUCCGAAUCAAACUCUUCCAUAAUGAGCUAAGUGUUAAUGAGAUUAGCUUCCGGAUAUAGUAUGUACAACUAUCCUCUCCCCCCAACCUAAGCUUUUCUCGAACUUUGGCAAAAUUAACCAACUCUUAAUAAGUUAGGAACGCACCUUCUUAUUCACUAUUCUUUUUACUCACUAAACUUAACCAAUUCACCUAUGUAGCAAGCAGAGGAUCGAUGACUUCCAACCAACCAAUCAAGGUUUAGGGCAUCGGGUUUUAAAGGCUUUCGCCACCCCUUCGGAUCAUGCUUAGGUUUUAAGGAAAGAAUAGAAGCUUAUUCCUUUUUUUUUUUUUUUUUUUUUUUUAAGACUCAUUGGUCUUUUUGAGGUGUCCCAACACUAUUAAAAAGAGGUUAAGUAAUGAACCAAGUCAAAAUUUUCCUAAGCUUAGAGGGUGAGAAAGUUUUACAUCAUAUAUCCGGGAUCUAAUGUGCACGGUGUGUGUAAAGCUUGAAAUGGAAGAAAUAAGUUCGAAAUCAAAGAGGGCUUCAAUAGAUUAUCAACUUUGAAAGCAUAAAACAAACUCUAAGACUUAAGUAAUUAAGUUAAAACUCGACUUAUCCUAUUUUAUUUUGAAAAAUUAUCUUUAACAACCAUAGAGAAUGAAACAAAAUUUUUUGAAAAAGGUCAAAAACUACUAAAUCAACAAAAUAACUAACUAAAAUAGGAAAUACUUACUUCCUCAACUCUCCCCCCAACCGAGAUGAACAUUGUCCCCAAUGUUUCUAUCGAAAAAGACGAGGAAGGAAUGAUAUACCUUAUGGUGAUGUGGUAUUCAAGGCGUGUGAGUGCAUCCACAUGAUUCAAAAACCAUAAGAAACAUGAGAGAGGAAAUAAGAUACAAAAAAUGAUGCUUAUAUAAACUGAGAGAGUUGAGUACAAGAUAUAAGCAUGAGGUACAUACAAUCUCAGAAUAUAAAACAUGUAUCAUAUACAAAAAACAUAUACAAAAUGGAGAUAGAAAUAUCCAAUCAUGGAUGUGGCUCCUGAGGUGGAGGAGGUGAUAUGCCUAGGUGAUGGUGGAUCUGAGAGAGCAUGAAGAAAAAAUUUCGUAAGGUGAAAAUUCACCUUGCCAAAUUUUCGCACUGGCUACUCCCCUUAAAAACCAAUCCCAAGAGGUUGCAUUUUGAUAUUUGCUUUGAAAACAAUUUUGCAAGGUGAAAAAUGACUUGUGAAAAUAUUCGCACUGGUUACUCCUUGCGAAAGUGCAAUCCCGAGAGGUUGUAAAUUGCAUCUUGCCAAAAUGUGCAUUUCGCAAACUCACUUUUUGAGUUGCGAAAUGGGCUUUUAAGCUUGGACUUAGAUAUAUUUCUCCCCUAUUUCACCUUUCUCUCCACAUUUGUGAGCUUGUGAGCUUUUGUACCUGCUAUUGGACAUCAAAGCUCCAUUAAAAACAUAAAAAAUCAAAAUCAAAACUAAGAAACCUAAACAAAAUAUGUACAAAAGUAUUAAAAAUGCAAAGUAAACAAGAAUGUAAUACUAAAAUUAAAACAAAAAGAGAUGAGCACUUAGCUUUUCAUGCUAAGCUCAUCAACUUACCACACUUUCUCAAGGAUCUGAUGAGUCAUGGAGGAUGAGUAUCUCCUUGUCACGGGAAAAUGGCUCGAUGUAGGGCUUGAGUGUUUGCCCAUUUACCUUGAAGGUCUUUGCACUUUUUGAGUUGAGUAACUCAAUUACUCCAUGUGAGUGUACUUGGUGGAUGACAAAAGGCCCUACCCACCUUGAUUUGAGCUUUCCCGUAAAUAGGUGAAGCUUAGAGUCAUAUAGCAAGACUCUUUGUCCCUUGAAAAAUUCUUUCUUGGUCACCAACUGAUCAUGCCAUCUCUUUAGCUUUUCCUUAGCUAUUUUUGAGUUGAGAUAGACAUCAUUUCUCAAUUCCUCAAGCUCAUUCAAAUCCAAACUCCUCUUUAGCCCAGCCUUAGUUAAAUCCAUGUUGAGCUUUUUAAUGGCCCACCAUGCCUUGAACUCAAUCUCAACGGGAAGAUGGCAAGCUUUGCCAUAAAUAAGACGGUACGGUGACAUCCCAAGGAUAGUCUUAUAAGCCGUCCUAUACGCCCAUAGGGAAUCAAGGAGCUUAACAGACCAAUCUUUCCUAUUGGUUGAUUACUACCAAAAAGUGCUAUUUUGUAGACCUAAUUAUAAUGGUUUUAAGCACCUUUGAGUAGUAAUCAUAUUCAUUUAACCCAAUUAAUUCAUUAAGGUCCUUAGUAAUUGGUUUUAACCAUUUUGUGGCAAGUUUACAUGUUUUUAUCAGCUUAUGAAUCAAUUCAAGCAUGCCAAAUGAUGGAGGAGCUACUUAAAAAAGUUAUGGAAAAGCUUUUAGAAGCUCAAAUUCAUGAAGAACCAAAGCUUUGAAGUCCUUUUCCAUAAGCAAAUCGGGAAUGCAAGGAGGGAAAGCAAAGAGAAAUCUGCCAUGAAGCAUUCUUGAUGACAGUAUGUCAGCCACUUUUGGAGAACUUCCCGAAGUCCAUUUUGUACAUUCUAUAUACCAUUUUAAAGCUCAGGAAGUCAACAAUCCAAUGCUUUAAACGGUGCGCAAUUUGGAGUUGAAACGAAGAAGUUACAACCACUGCAAGUCAAUCACUCUAAGUUGAAGAAAGCAUUUUGCAAAAGUGUUGCAGAAUCACCCUUUUGUUGCGAAAUGAUUUCGCAGCCUUUUUGUACAGUGUUGUGGAUUCCCUCCUGAAGUUGCCCGAUAUAUGCCGCAAAUUGGAAGCUGAGCACCUCAAGAUGAAAGCCAACUUCGCAGCCCUGCGAGAAUAACCUUUUGCUGCGAAGUGAUUUCGCAGCCCUUUUUGUGCAUCUGCGAAAUCUCGCAGACCUUGUUUUCACCUGCGAAAUGGUCCUUAGUGCUUCCCGAUAUUUGUGCACCGACUCUUUUAGAUCUUUUCUUCAGAUAUUUUUGUAUAAAUUUCCAUUCUUCUCCUUGUAAUCCACCAACCAUAAGAUUUCUUAGUUAGGAAGGUUGGAAAAAGUCUCUAUAUAUAUUCCCUUGCAUCCACUGUAAUAGAAUCAUGUAAUCGAUCAAUAGAUAUAGAUAUAUCAUAUAUAGAAUCAACGAACAGAGCACUUGCUCUGUUUUUCAUAUAUAUUCUUGUUUUCUCGUUAGUUUUCUUUCUAGCCAACCAAACUCUGAGGAUUUUUCCUAAGAGGAUGAGAGGCUAAGCUUUUUUGUCUCUUGGAGUAAGGAAAGCCAGGUAAGUUUCCACAUGUAUAAUUUGGAAGUUUUGUUGUUUUAGUUUUUAAUGAAGAGAAAGUGUAACCCGUUAAUGGUUUUUAUUUUUUUAGUUAACUUAAAACGCCUUUAAAUCACCUGGGCCAACACUUGGUAAGGCAAGUGAUCUCCAACCAUGGAGAUGCACUAGUUUACCCCUUGCGAGCCUCUGGGAGGUGACUUGAAGGUAGGAUUUUCUAGAAUAGCCAACACUUGGUAAGCUUUUGGACUCCAAGGAGACAUCCAUUAGUUAUCUCUUGCGAGCUUUUGACGGGUAAUCCAAGGUUAAAGAUCACCUUGAAUGGCAAGUGCUAGGUGAGAGGCAUGAGCCAUUGCAAGAUGCAUCAGUGAGAGGGAUUUAGUGUUUGAACCCAUUAAUGGGAAGCAUCUGUACAACACUGGUUAGAGAAGGAACUAUAUGUUAAUUCUCUAAUGCGAGGAAAAGAAAUAAGUGACCGGAACUCCCUUUUUGUAUGAGGAACCUGAGCCUAGUGAUCUGAACUCCAAGAAACACUUUUCUUUGUAAGUAAAAUCAGUUACUAUUUUUGGUUAGUUUAAAUCUAAACCUUUUUCAUUCAAACAUCUUUAUGUUUUCUUUUAAAGCUAACCUUGAAAUGAAAAGGCACCAAUUCAACUUUGAAUUAAUAUCAUUUGUGAAGUGAAAACCCAUCCCAGUGAACGAUCCUAGAGCCACUAUGCUAUAGUAGCUUUGUCUUUGCUACCCUAGUAUAUGGUGUAAUAGGUUAUAAAUUUUGUUAAUUACUCCCUCAAUCAAGGAGCACCAGCUGGACACGAAUCAGCUGAGACACCAAUUGGGCACGAAUCAUUGGUGUUCACCACCUUCAUCAAGAUGUUCUUAAUUUCCCGGUUGGCUAGCUCUACUUGGCCACUCGUCAGAGGAUGAUAAGGUGUAGCUACCUUAUGCUUAAUUCCGUACUUGGCCAAAAGAGCUUCAAAGGGCUUGUUGCAAAAGUGAGUGCCUCCAUCACUGAUGAUUGCUUUAGGCACUCCAAACCUCGAGAAGAUGUUUUCUUUUAGGAACUUGAGAACCACUUUGUGAUCAUUGGUUCUACAGGGUAUAACUUCAACCCACUUUGAAACAUAAUCAACUCCUACCAAGAUGUAGGAGUGGCCAAAAGACAUAGGGAAAGGUCCCAUGAAGUUUAUGCCCCAAACAUAAAAAAAAUCCACUAUCAAGAUGGGGUUCAAAGGCAUCAUGUUUCUCCUUGAAAGCUUGCCUAGUCUUUGGCACUUAUCACAUCCUUUACUUACCUCAUGGGCAUCCUUAAAAAGUGAGGGCCACCAAAAGCCCGAUUGAAGAACUCUCAUUGCCGUCUUUUGAGAGGCAAAGUGGCCUCCACAUGCAUUCCCAUGGCAAUGAGAUAGGAUCCCAUACUUCUCUUGUUCAGGCACACACUUCCUUAUAAUUUGGUCCGCACAAUACUUGAAGAGAAAAGGCUCCUCCCAAUAAUAUGCAUGGACCUUGGCAAAGAAAUUCUUCUUGUCCUGAGAGCUCCAUUCACUUGGUAUUUCCCCCGUGACCAAGUAAUUGGCAAUGUGUGCAAACCAUGGCACUUCCUCCACAAGCAUCAAGGAUUCCUCAGGGAAAUCAUCAUUUAUGGGAAGUCCAUGGGUGUCAUGAGCGAUGUUGAGCCUUGACAAGUGGUUAGCUACCACAUUCUCAACACCUUUCUUAUCUCUGAUCUGGAGGUUGAACUCUUGAAGCAAAAGUAUCCACCUAAUCAACCUAGCCUUGGCAUCUUGCUUGGUUAGCAAAUACUUCAAAGCUGAAUGAUUCGUGAAUACCACAAUGGAAGACCCUAUCAAAUAAGCUCUGAACUUAUCCAAAGCAUACACCACAACAAGUAAUUCCUUCUUAGUGGUGGUGUAAUUCCUUUGAGCAUCAUUCAAAGACUUGCUUGCAUAGUAGAUCACAUAAGGUUUACCAUCUUCUCUUUGUCCCAAAACAGCCCCAAUGGCAUAAUCAUUUGAGUCACAUCACUUCAAAUGGCAACUCCCAAUUUGGUGCUCUCACAAUGGGCGCUGAUGUCAAGAAUUGCUUAAGAAGCUCAAAACUCCUUUGACAUUUAUCAUCCCACUCAAACUUGGCAUCCUUCACCAAUAAUUCACAAAGAGGUUUGGCAAUCUUGGAAAAAUCCUUUAUAAACCUCCUAUAGAACCCGACAUGCCCAAGGAAUUGCCUUAUUCCUUUUACAUUGGUGGGAGGUGGAAACUUCACAAUUAGUUCCACCUUAGCUCUAUCUACCUCUAUACCCUUCUUUGAGAUUACGUGCCCAAGAACAAUACCUUGAUUUACCAUAAAAUGUCACUUCUCCCAAUUGAGUACGAGGUCUUUCUCUAUGCAUCUUUUCAAAACAUCUUCAAGAUGUGACAAACAAUCCUCAAAAGAAGUCCCAUACACAGUUAUGUCAUCCAUGAAGACUUCCAUGAUUCGUUCAACCAUGUCACUGAAGAUGCUAAGCAUGCAUCUUUGGAAGGUAGCAGGAGCGUUGCAUAAUCCAAAAGGAUAGGUGCCGAAUGGACAAGUGAAGGUAGUCUUCUCCUGGUCCUCCACAUCAAUCUCUAUUUGAAAAUACUCGGAAUACCCAUCCAAGAAGCAAUAAAAAGGAUGCCCAGAUACUCUCUCAAGGACUUGAUCCAUGAAAGGUAAAGGGAAGUGAUCCUUUCUUGUUAAUGUGUUCAACUUCCUAUAGUCAAUGCACACCCUCCAACCAGUUGUGAGGCGUGUGGACACUUCAUCUCCAUUUUCCCCCUUGACUACGGUUAUCCCGGACUUCUUUGGAACAAUUUGGGCUGGACUUACCCAAGUGCUAUCUAAAAUGGGGUAAAUGAUGCCCGCUUGAAGAAGCUUCAACACUUCAGCCCUUACUACCUCUUGCAUAUGAGGAUUCAAUCUCCUCUGUGGCUGAUGAGUUGGCUUAGCUCCCUCCUCCAUAUAAACAUGGUGCGUGCAAAUCAAUGGGCUUAUCCCCUUCAAAUCAGAAAUUUUCCAUCCGAUGGCCUUCUUGUGCUUUCUAAGGAUUCUUAGAAGAUUGUCCUCUUGUGAAACGGUUAAAGAAGAAGAAAUUACCACCGAGGCUUUAUUGCCUUCCUCCAAGUAAGCAUACUUCAACUUGGCAGGAAGGGUCUUCAAUUUAAGCUUAAGGAUUACAUCCUUAGCUUCUUUCAUCUCUUCCUCAUCCUUGAACAAAGGGAGGAUCACUGGCUUUUGUCUCCAGUUUGACAUAACGACAUUCAUUCCCAUGGGUUCAGCUAACCCAUCAUCAAGAUCUUCAUGGCUUUCAUCUGGAUUCUCUUCAAACUGAUCAAGCAUACUCUGAUUACAAUGCUCCUCCACCAGGGUAUCUAUCAUACACACUUCUUCUGGGCCCUCAUCUUCUUCAGGAUCGAUGUGCUUUUGACAUAGAUGGAAGAUGUUGAGUUCUAAUGUCAAAUUCCCAAAAGUGAGUUGCUUACCCCAUUCCUACAAUUGAUGAUUGCAUUGGAUGUUGCAAGGAAUGGUCUUCCAAGGAUGAUUGGAACAUAGUUGAUCCCUUUGACAAUGGGAUCCGUAUCAAGCACCACAAAAUCUACUGGAUAGUAGAAUUUGUCAACUUGAACCAAUACAUCCUCUAUUACCUCCCUGGGGAUUUUCACUGAUCGGUCAGCUAAGGAUAGGGUGAUCGAUGUUGGCUUGAGUUCUCCCAACCCUAGCUCCUUGUAUACAGAGUAUGGAAGCAAAUUAACACUUGCCCCCAAAUCAAGCAAUGCCUUCUCCACUUGGGUUCCUCCAAUAUUGACUGAGAUUGUAGGACACCCCGGAUCUUUGUAUUUGAUUGGAGACUUGCAUUGGAUUAUAGCAUUCACUUGCUCGGUUAGGAAGGCUUGCUUUGUAACAUUGAGUCCUCUUUUCAUAGUGCACAAGUCCUUAAAAAACUUUGCAUAUGUGGGUACUUGCUUGAUCAUAUCAAGUAAAGGAAUAUUCACCUUCACUUGUCUUAGCACAUCAAGAAUCUCAUAAGCAUUCUUGAUCGGUUUCUUCCCACGCAAGGCUUGAGGAAAUGGAGGAGGCAUGUGCUUCUUCAUCAUGUCUUCCUUUAAAAGAAUUUGAGGUUCCUCAUCCAUGCUAGGAAUGAUGCUUUCUUUCAUCUGAACUUUCUUUCCCUUUUGUUCUUUCUUCUUUUCUUCUUUUCUAUUAGCCUUGUUUUCUUUGGCUUUCCUCUGAUCAUGCUCCGGCUGAUGCACUUCCUUACCACUUCUCAAAGUGAUAAUAGCUUGCACGUCCCUCACAUUUGAAGAAUCCUCAUCUUUGGAUUCCACUUCAUGUAUCCCCUUAGGAUUUUGGUGAGGCUGAGAGGGAAACUUCCCUUUCUCAUUGACAGUGUUCAAAUUUGUGAGCCUUGAGAUGGAAUAUUGGAUGUUGUCAAUUUUCUGAGACAACUCAUUAUGCAUCCCAUCUAUCUUCUUGUUCAAUGUACUCUCUACGUUGUUAAUCUUCUGAUUUAGUUGAGAGUUGAUGGAUUUUUGCUCACUCACAAAGUCACCCAUAACCUUGCUAAGGCUUAUGAGUGCUUGCUCAACUGAGGAUUGACCUUGACUUUGUUGGCUUGAUUGGGCUGGUGACUGAUAUGGGUUUGGCCUUGGCUUCCAUGCAAAGUUUGGGUGGUUCCUCCAGCUAGAGUUGUACGUGUUGCCAUAGGGAGCAUUUGAAUUUGGAUUCCAUUGGCCAAUCAGGUUAGCUUGUUCCCCGAACAUUUCUCUUGUUGCUGGAAUGGUGGGACAUUCUUUCACCAUAUGUUCAAAUGACUGACAGAUGGAGCAAGGAUUGGCUUGUUGUUGAGGUUCUGAAAUAGCUUGGACUUCAUGAACUUUUCUCAACUCCAUUUCCUCUAUUUUUUUAGCCAUGACAGCUACCUUGGCUUUCAUCUCCAUGUCUUCACUCAGAUUGUACAUCCCCCCUCUUGACAUUUGUUGAACUGGCCUUUUCCCUAUUUCUCUGUUAUUGGGCUCAUCCCAUCCAUGGGAAACCUCUGAAACAUAACUUAGGAAAUCCAUAGCCUCCUCAGGGUUCUUGCUCAUGAAAUCGCCCCCACACAUUGUCUCCAAUAUCUGCUUCAUUGAAGAUGACAUGCCAUCAUAAAAAUAGCUCACCAAAAGCCAUGUAUCAAAGUCGUGGUGAGGACAUGCAUUGAUGGCCUCCAUAUACCUCUCCUAGCAUUCAUAAAAUUUUUCAUUCUCACGUGUUGAGAAGUUGGAGAUUUGUCUCCUCAAUCCAUUUGUUCUGUGAGUAGGGAAAAACUUCUUCAAAAAAUCAGCUUGAAGUUCUGUCCGUGUUCUUAUGCUUCUCGGCCUCAAGGAAUUGAGCCAUAUUGAUUCGCGUAUGUAAAUCCAGUCGGGUCAUUUAAUAAAAAACAUUUAUAAAACCUAUGACCUCAUACUAGUGUAGCAAAGCUACAAUAGUAUAGUGGCUUUAGGGUCGAACUCUGGGAUGGGUUUUCAUUCUACUAGUGAUAUACUCAUGAUUAGGAAUUGAAUUUAAUGAUUUCCUUUAUAAAAAACUUAGAGUUUAAAAGAAAAUAAAAUUUGUUUUGAAAGUGUUUGAAACUAAAUUAACAUAAACUAAUUAAAAAUGGAAGAAAGAAAGUCUCCCGGAGCUCAGGAUUGCUAGGAUCAAGUUUAGAAUGCAAAGUGGAAAAUUCCGGAUUUUUCUCCUCGCAUUGGGGAUUUAACCUAUAGUUAUUUCCCGAACCGGUAUAGGUUUAACAAUGAAGAUUUAAUCCAUAAAAAUUAAUAGAAAUAGUAGUCAAGGUCCAUUAAUGGCUUUAGACACUAUGGGUCUUCACCUUGAACCACUUUCCAAUGGCUCGUACAUGAUAACUAAUGGACUGAUAUGGAUCUAGCAAUAAGCAUCCACAGAGACCUGAAGCUUACCAUGUAUUGGCCAUUCAAAGUGAUUCUAAGGGAUUUAAAGCAAAACUUUGGAUUUAAAAGCCAUUUAUGAACUUCAACUACUUGUAUUUAAGGCACGAGCGUUUUCCACCUUGCAUAUGGACUUUUCACCUAGCUUCCAUCACUCCAAGAAACCAAAAGUUUAGCCUCUCAUCCUUUGAGAAAACAUCCUCAGAGGUUGUUUGGCUUCCAAGAAAAAGAAAAUAGUAAAGAGAAAAGGGAAAACGAGAGAGCUCUGUAUAUUUUCUAAGUGUAAAACAUAACACGCGUGUUACCUCCAAGAGGUGAUUUCCACCCCUUAUAUAGUUUUUACAAAAGCAAAGCUUGUGAUUGGCUUGUUACAAGGAGAAGAAAGGAAAUUACAUCAAAAAAUAUAAAAGAAAAUAUCUAAAGUGGAGUCGGAAAAAACAGAGGAAAAUUCGCACCACGCAUGGGGCGUGCGAAUUUUCGCACACCUGAGGGGGGUGUGCGAGUUUCGCGCACCAUUCGCACACCAUUUGCACACCUGGAGCAGUUUUCUUCCGAAGGCCAUAUCUUCCUCGUUUCAGCUCCAAAUUGUACACAGUUUGAAGCGUUGGAUUCUUGACUUCCUGAGCUUUGAAAUGGUAUAUAGCAUGUAAAAAAUGGACUUUGGGAAGUGCUCCAAAAGUGCCAAAGAAGACUGCAGUUGCUGUCCUCUGUUUUCCUCCUUGCUUCUCUUUGCUUCUCUUUGGUUUUCUUUGCUUUUCUCCUUUGGAUGGCUUGUCUUAAUGAUCUAAAAAGAUGUUAAAAACACUAAAACUAGCCACAAAUAUGAUUAGGAGUCAUUGCUAGGUCCUUAACAUGCCAAUUGGAAUAAAGAUGAAGAAUUACUACACAAAAGUGCUUAAAACAUAAUGACUUAAAGGUGUAAAAUAACACUUUUUGGGUAGUAAUCACUCCCCCCAACUGACACAUUGCUAGUCCCUAAGCAAUGAAGGAGAGAAAAAGAAAGAAAAAUAGAUAAUAAAAUAAUUUACAAAAUCAUGCUGAUUACUCCAAAAAAUAAUCAAGUGGCAUGAUUGGAUCAAACUCUCACAUGGCAAGUCAAGGAUAUAAAACUCAAUCAUCAACAAGAGUUAUCAAAUAACUUACCUAUCACAACUUGCAAAGAGCGGGCAUUAUGCAAAUUUGAGUAUCAAAAUAAUUUCCACCCCCAACGGAUCAAUUCUUAAUCUUCCACAAAAAUCUAAGUGUUAAGGUGCUUAGUUUCCAGUUAUAGUAUGUCAAACUAUAUUCUCCCCCCCAACUAAGGUUUUUCUCUAACUUUAGCAACACUAACUCAUAUAUAAAAGGCUAAGAACGCACCUUUUUUUUUUUUUUUGACUUUUUUUUUUUUUAAGGUACUCCACCCAUCCACCCAUGUAAUGAGCAGUGAGGUCGGUGACUCCCAACCAGUAAAGGCUUAGGGCACCAGGCUUUAAAGAUUUUCACCAUAUACCCCUCGGACCUUGCUUGGGUUUCAAAGCAAGUGAAGCAAAAAUUAUUCAUAAGACACAUUGGCCUUUUAUAAGGUGUCCCAACACUAAUAGAAUGAAGUCAAUGGCACCAAGUCGAAAAUUUCCUAAGUUUAGGGGGGUGAGAAAGUUUUCCAUCUUAUAACUGGAAUCUAAUGUGUUCAGUGUGUGAAAAGAUUAGAGUGGAAGACUUAAGAUUGAAAUCAAAAGGAUCUUCAACAAUUUAUCAACUUUAAUAAGCAUAAUACAAACUCUGAGACUAUGGCAAUAAGAUAAGAAUUUAAUUUCUCCCAUUUACUUUUGAGAAUUUAUCUUUGAGAAAACAAAGAGAGUUUGCAAAAAAAUUUGUUAGCAAAAUAACUUAACCAAAAAUUCAACAAAUUACUUCCUCAACUCUCCCCCCAACUAGGAUGAACAUUGUCCCCAAUGUUCCAAAAACAAGAGAUAAUAAAAGGGAGGAAGUGAUACCUCCUGAUAGUAAGGGAGUCUGAAUGAACAGGAGAAACCACAUGUUGCAUAAGAAAAGAAAAAUCAUAAGAUUGAUGAAUAGAGGAAAUAAAAUGGAAUAGCUAAAAUACACAAAAAAGAAGAUGUCUAUAUAAACUGAGAGAGUACAAUAUACAAGAUAAACAUGAAAUACAUCCAAUCCCAGUAUAAAAGUGGUCCAAAAUAUAUAAGACAUCCAAAAACGUAGCAUAUAGAUACAAAAAAAAAAAAAGGGAGAGGAGUGAUCGUAUGAUCAAGUAGUAGGCUCCUCUGGUGGAUAGGAGGGGUCCUUCGCUGCAACUGUGGAAGGAACCGCUACAGGUGGAGCUAGUGGUGAAAGACCGAGGUGGUGCUGAAUCUCACGGAGAAUGAGAGUCUGCUGGUCCUACUGAAGCUGGAAGUGGUCCAUCCGCUCCAUAGUGGCCGUCUGAGUAGUGGUCAAAGUCUGGAAAGAAGCGAGCAAGGCACGAUACUCUGGACCAGGGAUAGUAAUGGGCGGCUCUGAUGUAGGAGGAACAAAAGGUGGGGCAUCAGAUGAUGCUGCCUCCAGUACUGGCUGUGGAGGGUCUGAAGUGGAUGGAGCAGGAGGGACUUCCCUUGGCUCGGGAAGUUCUGGGGACUGGCGAUGGAGCUAUAUCUGAGUCCAUUGGUCAAGAGAGAAGCUCUCUCGACAAUGGCGGCGGGGCUCUGAACGAGGGUCUGCAGGAAAACCCAUAUGCGCCAAAACAUGGCAUAGCAGCCGAGGGAAAAGUAAAGACAUGGAGUCUGCCCUCGCAAGACGCCGCGUAUGCACCUUCUCCUCAAAAUGGAGGAGAGCGGCCAUAAUCAAAUGAUGGGGGCCAAAAUAGUAGCCCUCAGAGAUACGGAAUAAUGCCUCCAUAAUGGCCCCUCGUCUCUGCACUUUAUGCUGAAGAGGAAAAAGAUUGGCGCGAAGCACCACAUCAACUAGGAGCAUCUCUAGGGGAAGCUCUCUCCUCAAAAUGGUCCUCUGGGAAGAUGUCCCUUGAGAUAGGAUACGAACCAUGUCCCACUCAGAAAGUGGGGCCCAACGUCUAAAUGUAGCGGGAUCUGCUGGUGCAAAAGGGAUAUGGAAGGCAUCAGCAAUCUGUCUAGCCCCCAAAAUACCCUGGCGUCCAUCAAUGGUAAAAAGGAUCGAGGCUGGUACCGGGACGCCACGAGUAGUCAUAGACUGGUAAAAGUCUAAAGCUACUUGAGGAUAAAAGAACUGGGGUAGAGUCAUAAAGGGUAUAAGAUGGUACCUCUCAAGUAGGCGGUAUGAAUCCCGCAACUCAGGCUGCUGUCGCAUAAGAGAGUGAUCAAAAUAUGCCUCGACAUGAAAAUCUCUCGAUCGGCAAUCGGAGUUGCCCUCAAUGGGCAAGCUGGGUCUAGGGCGCCUGGCGGAAGAAGGCUGAGACUGUGAAUCCCGAGGUGCUCUGGAGGACUCUCCUAGCUCUGAAGUCUUGGCUUUCUUUGUAGGAGGACUCCGAGGUGGAAUUUGUGGAGGGGCCACAGACGUGGCAGAUGCUCUCCUCGUAUGGUAUCUGCUUUGAGGGGCAGAAUCAGGUAAAUGUGAGGGUGCAUCUAGUGGGGCCCGCACAGGGGCGGCUCUUUGACUGCUCUAGGGAGCUAUGGUAGAUCCUUCUCGGGUCUUAGGCAUGAUGAAGCGAUGAAAUGAGGCUCAGAGGUUUGGGAUUAGGGAAGGUAGGGAUGGAAAAGCUGAAAUUUUCGCACAAGGGAGGUGGGGGGGGGGGGNNNNNNNNNNNNNNNNNNNNNNNNNNNNNNNNNNNNNNNNNNNNNNNNNNNNNNNNNNNNNNNNNNNNNNNNNNNNNNNNNNNNNNNNNNNNNNNNNNNNAAUCCCAAACCUUGUUCUUACCAAACCAAAGCCUAAACCAUAAAGCAUUCAAGCCACGGUUUCUUCAUAAGAAACCCAUUGCCGCCGGCCAUGGGAGCUCCCAAUCUUCAAUUUUCCUCUUGAAAAGCUCCAAUUUCCAAGCCUAUUCACUAUGACAAAUCUUUUUCAUACCUAAGCCAACUUUUCCCCCCCUCAAAGGCCACAAAUUUUCACCAUCUCAAACAAGCCACAAUUCUUCAAACGUGCGGGGGGGUGGGGGGGUGUGCGAAAUUUUCGCACAGGGUACUAUUCACCCGCACGUUUGAAGAAUUGUGGCUUGUUUGAGAUGGUGAAAAUUUGUGGCCUUUGAGGGGGGGAAAAGUUGGCUUAGGUAUGAAAAAGAUUUGUCAUAGUGAAUAGGCUUGGAAAUUGGAGCUUUUCAAGAGGAAAAUUGAAGAUUGGGAGCUCCCAUGGCCGGCGGCAAUGGGUUUCUUAUGAAGAAACCAUGGCUUGAAUGCUUAUGGUUUAGGCUUUGGUUUGGUAAGAACAAGGUUUGGGAUUGGAUUGUGGAUGGAUUUAGAGGGUUGGGUGAAGAUUUGAAAGGAUUUUGAUGGUGGAAGGAGGUGAAAUUGCCGAAAAUGGGAAGUGGUGAAUAGUGAAUGCGCGGCUAUGGAAUGGAGCUAUGGAGAUGGGCUGCCAUGGUGGUGUUGAUGAUGAGGAAUGAUGAAGAAGAGGAGCUUUAUGGAUGGAAAUGGGUGAUCGGAAGAGAGGUUUUGAGAGAAUUGAAGAAGAAGCUAAGACUUUGAAGUGGAGAACAUAGCUUUAAAAGAGAAAAAUGAAUUUCGCACAGGGGAAAAUGGUGUGCGAAAUUUUCGCAUACCUGUGAUUCUCCAAGACAGAGAGCAUGGUUUUGAAAAUUGGUGCAAAAAAAGAAUUCGCACAGGGUUCGCACAAAGUACACAUUCCUGUGAAAUUCGCACAAGGGACCGAGAUCAUGCAAUUUUUGAAAAGUGGUGCAAAAGCAAAUUCGCACAGGGUAAGUGGUGUGCGAAAUUUUCGCACACCACAAGGGGGUGUGCGAAUUUUGCUGAGUCUUGUCUUUUCUCCCCUGUUUUCCCUUGUUUUCACCAAGACUUCAUUCUUCAAGCCUUCCUACCUACAUGUUAACACAAAAAAUAGAAAUCAAACCACAUUAGAAUGAAAUUAAAGUCAAAAAUAGAAAUCAAAACAUGCAUAAACACAAGAAAACAUUAGAUUAAACUAAAAUCAACUUAAAAGAGAACAAAAAGAGGAUGAAUUUUUUAGUCUUUGGAGAUACUAAGUUCAACCAUGAACCAAGUGUUUUCAUGUUGGAGGUGGAUCAAGGAGGAUGAAUUCCUCCUUGUCUUGGGAAAAAGAUUCGAUAUAGGGCUUGAGACGAUGCCCAUUAACUUUGAAAGUUCGAGUGCUAUUGAAGUUGAGUAGUUCCACUACUCCAUUUGGUUGCACUUCAUGAAUUAUGAAAGGACCCGUCCAUCUUGAUUUCAAUUUUCCCGGAAAAAAAUGAAGCUUAGAGUCAUAAAGCAAGACUCUUUGCCCCUUGGCAAAAUUCUUUUGAUUUACCAAUUGAUCAUGCCAUUUCUUCAACCUCUCCUUUGCAAUUUUUGAAUUGAGGUAAGCAUCAUUCCUCAUUUCCUCCAAUUCAUUCAAAUCCAAACAUCUUUUCAACCCGGCUCUUAUCAAAUCCAUGUUGAGUUUUUUGAUUGCCCACCAUGCUUUGUAUUCAAUCUCCACUGGAAGAUGACACACUUUGCCAUAAACAAGGCGAUAAGGAGACAUUCCAAGAAUGGUCUUGUAAGCGGUCCUAUACGCCCAUAAGGAAUCUAGGAGCUUAAUAGACCAAUCCUUCCUAUUCACAUUCACCACCUUCAUUAAUAUAUUCUUGAUCUCCCGGUUGGCUAACUCAACUUGGCCACUUGUUUGAGGGUGAUAAGGUGUAGCUACCUUGUGCUUAACCCCAUAUUUGGCUAGAAGAGUCUCAAAAGGUUUAUUGCAAAAGCGGGUUCCUCCAUCACUUAUAAUGGCCUUAGGCACUCCAAAUCUUGCAAAGAUGUUAUCCUUGAGGAAUUUAAGAACCACCCUAUGAUCAUUGCUCCUACAUGGGAUUGCUUCAACCCACUUAGAGACAUAAUCCAUCCCACCAAAAUGUAGGAAUGUCCAAAUGACAUUGGAAAUGGUCCCAUGAAGUCUAUCCCCCAAACAUCAAAGACAUCCACUAUCAAAAUGGGGUUCAAGGGCAUCAUAUUUCGGCGUGUAAGCUUACCAAGCCUUUGACACCGAUCACAUCCCUUGCACAUAGAGUGGGCAUCCUUGAAAAGAGAGGGCCACCAAAACCCUGAUUGGAUCACUUUCAUAGCUGUUUUCUAGGAGGCAAAAUGACCUCCACAUGCACUAUCAUGGCAAUGGGAAAGAAUUCCUGAUUGCUCUUGUUCAGGAACACAUUUCCUUAUGAUUUGAUCCGCACAAUAUUUGAAGAGAAAAGGCUCCUCCCAAUAAUAGGCAUGGAUCUUAGCAAAGAAAUGCCUCUUGUCUUGGGCACUCCACUCGCUUGGAACUUCCCCAGUAACCAAGUAAUUUGCAAUGUGAGAAUACCAAGGAGCUACAUCUAUUGACAUGAGAGACUCCUCAGGGAAGUCAUCAUUGAUAGGCAGACCAUGUGAGUCAUGUGCUAUCACAAGUCUUGACAAAUGGUCAGCUACCACAUUUUCUACUCCCUUUUUAUCCCGUAUUUGGAGAUUGAAUUCUUGGAGCAAAAGGAUCCAUCUUAUCAAUCUUGCCUUGGCAUCUUGCUUGGUUAGCAAGUACUUCAAAGUGGAAUGGUCAGUGAACACCACUAUAGAGGACCCUACUAAAUAGGCACGAAACUUAUCCAAGGCAAAAACUACUGCCAAUAACUCCUUCUCAGUAGUUGUGUAGUUCCUUUGAGCCUCAUUCAAAGUUUUGCUCGCGUAAUAAAUCACAUAAGGCUUUCCAUCCUCUCUUUGCCCCAAAACAACCCCCAUAGCAAGAUCACUUGCAUCACACAUUACCUCAAAACGUAAUUUCCAAUUUGGGCUCUCACUAUUGGUGCAGUUGUGAGGAAUUACUUCAAUUCCUCAAAACUCUUCUGACACUUCUCAUCCCACACAAACUUGGCAUCCUUUACCAAGAGUUCACAAAGAGGCUUUGAGAUUUUUGAGAAAUCCUUAAUGAACCUCCUAUAGAACCCGGCAUGUCCUAGGAAUUGCCUAAUUCCUUUAACAUUUGUGGGAGGUGGCAACUUAACAAUUAGCUCCACCUUUGCCUUGUCUACCUCAAUGCCAUUUUUGGAGAUUACAUGUCCUAAGACAAUGCCUUGUUGUACCAUAAAAUGAAACUUCUCCCAAUUUAGCACUAGGUCUUUCUCAAUACAUCUGUGGAGAACAGUUUCUAAGUGCAACAAACACUCCUCAAAAGAACUUCCAUAUACAGUGAUGUCAUCCAUGAAGACUUCCAUGAUGCGUUCCACCAUAUCACUGAAGAUGCUUAGCAUACAUCUUUGGAAAGUUGCAGGAGCAUUACAUAAACCAAAGGGCAUUCUCCUAUAUGCAAAAGUACCAAAGGGGCAUGUGAAGGUUGUUUUUUCUUGAUCUUCCAAAUCAAUCUCUAUUUGGAAGUACCCCGAGUAACCAUCUAGAAAACAGUAGAAAGGAUGUCCUGAGACUCUCUCAAGGACUUGGUCCAUGAAAGGCAAUGGGAAAUGGUCCUUCCUAGUCACUGAAUUCAACCUCCUGUAGUCUAUACACACCCUCCAUCCUGAGGUAGGACGUGUAGAGACUUCCUCCCCUUUCUCAUUCUGGAUCAUAGUGAUUCCAGAUUUCUUUGGAACUACUUGGGUGGGGCUCACCCACAAGCUAUCUGAAAUGGGAUAUAUGAUCCCUGCUUGUAGUAGCUUCAGAACUUCACCCCUCACCACCUCUUGCAUGUAAGGAUUCAACCUCCUCUGGGGCUGCCUCACUAGUUUUGCAUCUUUCUCCAUGUAGAUAUGGUGGGUGCACACCAAAGGAUUAAUCCUUUUCAAAUCAGAAAUUUGCCAUCCAAUGACUUUCUUGCAUUUUCUGAGGACUCCCAAAAGACUAUCCUCUUGAUCACUUGUGAGAUUUGAAGAGACCACCACUGGACAUUUCUCAUCUUCCUCCAAGUAUGCAUACUUCAAAUCAACAGGAAGUGGCUUCAAAACAAGCUUUGGAGGGUCCUCCAUACCUGCUCCUUGUGAGUCCUCCUUAUUGAACAGUGGUAAGAUCUCUUCCCGUCUCCUCCAAGGAGACAUGAUAGCUAGCACAUCAGAGGGUUCAGGUAACCCUUCUUCAAACACUUCAAGGCUUUCAUUCAAGCUCUCUUCUAAGCUUUUGUCACAAUGCUCUUCAACCAAGGUGUUGAUCAGGCACACCUCCUCCAAUCCUUCAUCCUCAUCUGGGUGAAGAUGCCUCUUGCAAAGAUGGAAUAUAUUUAAUUCCAAGGUCAUGUUUCCAAAUGUGAGUUGCAUCACCCCAUUUCUACAAUUGAUGAUGGCAUUGGAGGUAGCCAGGAAAGGUCUCCCAAGGAUGAUUGGCACGUAAUUGGCUUCCUUAACAGUGGGAUCAGUAUUAAGCACAACAAAAUCCACGGGAUAGUAGAAUUUGUCCACUUGAACUAGAACAUCCUCUAUCACCCCCCUUGGGAUUUUGACAGACCUAUCAGCUAAGGAGAGAGUGAUGGCUGUGGGCUUCAAUCCUCCAAGUCCCAGUUUCUUGUACACAGAGUAUGGGAGCAAAUUCACACUUGCCCCCAAGUCUAGUAAAGCUUUCUCCACAAGUGUCCCUCCAAUGUUGACUGCAAUGGUGGGGCAACCUGGAUCUUUAUACUUAACUGGAGACUUACUCUGAAUGAUAGCACUUACUUGCUCAGUGAGGAAUGCAUUCUUUGUCACAUGUAGCCCUCUCUUAACCGUGCACAAGUCCUUUAGAAACUUUGCAUAUGUGGGGACUUGCUUGAUCAUAUCAAGUAAGGGUAUAUUCACCUUCACUUGUCUCAAGACUUCAAGAAUUUCUGAUGAAUUCUUGAUCUCCUUCUUUCCAUGUAAAGCUUGAGGAAAAGGGGGAGGCAUAUGUUUCUUCAUCAUAUCUUCUUUAAUCACUAUCCUCGGCUCUUCUUCAAUGCUUGAUUUGGAUGCACUUUUCUUCCCACUCUCCUCUUCUUGGUUAUUGCUCUCUUUAACCAAGGUUUUCUUUGACAAGAGUUCUUCAUCUUGCCUCACCUUAGGCAAGGGUUGAUCAACCUCCUUUCCACUCCUCAAGGUGAUCACAGCUUUGACCUCCCUCAACUUUGAAGAAUCCCCCUCUUGCGUUUCAACUUCAUGAACACCCUUAGGAUUUUGGCUUGGUUGAGAGGGGAACUUUCCUUUCUCAUUCACUGUGUUGAGGUUGGUAAGCCUAGAGAUGGAGUAUUGAAUAUUAUCUAUCUUCUGAUAUAGAUCAUUUUGCAUCCCAUCCAUUCUCUUAUUUAGAGAACUCUCAACAUUCUCAAUCUUUUGGUGCAAUUGGGAGUUGAUUGCCCUUUGUUCACCCACAAAGUCAUUCAUGACUUUACUUAGGUUCGCAAUGGCUUACUCCACUGAAGAGGUUUGUUGAGGUGCUUGAGUUUGGGCUUGCGGUUGGUAUGGAGGUGGUCUUGGUUUCCAAGAAAAAUUUGGAUGGUUUCUCCAGCUUGAAUUAUAGGUGUUUCCAUAAGGUGCAUUGUUGUUAGGCCUAAAUUGCCCCACAACAUUGGCUUGAUCACCUAACAUCUCCCUCACAACUGGCAUGGUUGGGCACUCAUCUACCACAUGAUCACAUGAUUGGCAAAUGGUGCAUGGCAUGGCAUAGGCUUGAGUCUCGGAAAUGGCUUGGACUUCAUGCAUCUUUUUCAACUCAAGUUCUUCCAACCUCCUUGCUAUUGUUGCCACCUUAGCUUUCAUGUCCAUGUCUUCACUUAACAUGUACAUUCCACCCUUUGGAUUUACAGGAGCUUUCAUCCUUCCCAAUUCCUUUGAGUUGGGCUCAUCCCAUCCUCUUGUUACCUCAGAUACAUAACUUAAAAAAUCCAUGGCUUCUUCCGGAUUCUUACUCAUAAAAUCUCCCCCACACAUGGUUUCAAGAAUUUGCUUCAUGGAGGAAGACAUCCCAUCAUAGAAAUAGCUCACCAAGAGCCAUGUAUCAAAGCCAUGAUGAGGAUAAGCAUUGAUGGCCUCCAUAUACCUUUCCCAACAUUCAUGGAACUUCUCAUUUUCUUUUGCAGAAAAGUUUGAGAUUUGUCUCUUCAACCCAUUGGUCCUAUGGGUGGGGAAAAAUUUCUUCAAAAACUCGACCUGAAGAUCAACCCAAUUCCUUAUGCUCCUUGGCCUUAAAUAAUUAAGCCAUAUUUUUGCCUUGUCCUUCAAAGUGAAAGGGAAUAGCUUGAGUCUCAUCAAGUCUAUUGAAGCUCCUCCCUCUCUAAAGGUAUUGCACACCUCCUCAAACUCCUUGAUGUGGGCAUAUGGAUUCUCACUCUCCAUUCCAUGGAAAUUUGGUAGAAGGGGCACAAUAUGGGGCCUUAUAAUCAGCUGCUCAAGAGGAGGUAUGAUGCAUGAGGGUGCACUCAUCCUUGGUGGGUGCAUUCUAUCCCUCAUGGAUAGAUAUGCAUUUGGAUUACCCCCUUGACCUUGUUGAGAAUUCUGAUCCUCUUGUGGAGGGUCCAUGAUGUUUACACAGAUAUCCAACUCUGUGUCUUGAGGAUUCUCAAUCCUUACUAAUCUUCCCUCUUGGUCCCGAAUCCAAUAGGGCAUGCACAAAUCACUACUUGCCUGAAAACAAAACAAAGACAACAAAAACAAAAGAAAACUAGAAGAAAGUUAAAGUUAGAAAGAAAACAAAAGAAAUUCUACAAUAAAAAAAAGAAAUAAAGUUAGUGAAAAAGGAAUUCACCAAACUUGUGAUGAAAAUCACAAGUAGCCUCUAAAAGGUUGUAUCACUGUAUCGUGGCACCAUCCCCGGCAACGGCGCCAUUUUGAUUCGCGUAUGUAAAUCCAGUCGGGUCAUUUAAUAAAAAACAUUUAUAAAACCUAUGACCUCAUACUAGUGUAGCAAAGCUACUAUAGUAUAGUGGCUCUAGGGUCGAACUCUGGGAUGGGUUUUCAUUCUAUCAGUGAUAUACUCAUGAUUAGGAAUUGAAUUUAAUGAUUUCCUUUAUCAAAAACUUAGAGUUUAAAAGAAAAUAAAAUUUGUUUUGAAAGUGUUUGAAACUAAAUUAACAUAAACUAAUUAAAAAUGGAAGAAAGAAAGUCUCCUGGAGCUCAGGAUUGCUAGGAUCAAGUUUAGAAUGCAAAGUGGAAAAUUCCGGAUUUUUCUCCUCGCAUUGGGGAUUUAACCUAUAGUUAUUUCCCGAACCAGUAUAGGUUUAACAAUGAAGAUUUAAUCCAUAAAAAUCAAUAGAAAUGGUAGUCAAGGUCCAUUAAUGGCUUUAGACACUAUGGGUCUUCACCUUGAACCACUUUCCAAUGGCUCGUACAUGAUAACUAAUGGACUGAUAUGGAUCUAGCAAUAAGCAUCCACAGAGACCUGAAGCUUACCAUGUAUUGGCCAUUCAAAGUGAUUCUAAGGGAUUUAAAGCAAAACUUUGGAUUUAAAAGCCAUUUAUGAACUUCAACUACCUGUAUUUAAAGGCACGAGCGUUUUCCACCUUGCAUCUGGACUUUUCACCUAACUUCCAUCACUCUAAGAAACCAAAAGUUUAGCCUCUCAUCCUCUGAGAAAACAUCCUCAGAGGUUGUUUGGCUUCCAAGAAAAAGAAAAUAGUAAAGAGAAAAGGGAAAACGAGAGAACUCUGUAUAUUUUUCUAAGUGUAAAACAUAACACGCGUGUUACCUCCAAGAGGUGAUUUCCACCCCUUAUAUAGUUUUUACAAAAGCAAAGCUUGUGAUUGACUUGUUACAAGGAGAAGAAAGGAAAUUACAUCAAAAAAUACAAAAGAAAAUAUCUAAAGUGGAGUCGGCAAAAAUAGAGGAAAAUUAGUACCACGCAUGGGGUGUGCGAAUUUUUGCACACCUGAGGGGGGUGUGCGAGUUUCGCACACCAUUCGCACACCAUUCGCACAGCUAAGGGGGUGUGCGAAUUUCGCACACCAUUCGCACACCAUUCGUACACCUGGAGCAGUUGUCUUCCGAAGGCCAAAUCUUCCUCGUUUCAGCUCCAAAUCGUACACAGUUUGAAGCGUUGGAUUCUUGACUUCCUGAGCUUUGAAAUGGUAUAUAGAAUGUAAAAAAUAGACUUCGGGAAGUUCUCCAAAAGUUCCAAAGAAGACUGCAGCUGCUGUCCUCUGUUUUCCUCCUUGCUUCUCUUUGCUUCUCUUUGGUUUUCUUUGCUUUUCUCCUUUGGAUGGCUUGUCUUAAUGAUCUAAAAAGAUGUCAAAAACACUAAAACUAGCCACAAAUAUGAUUAGGAGUCAUUGUUAGGUCCUUAACAUGCCAAUUGGAAUAAAGAUGAAGAAUUACUACACAAAAGUGCUUAAAACAUAAUGACUUAAAGGUGUAAAAUAGCACUUUUUGGGUAGUAAUCACAUAUCUUGGCUUUGUCCUUUAAUGUGAAUGGAAAGAGCUUCAACAUCAUAAGCUCAAUAGCUGUUCUCCCUUCUUGAAAAGUAUUGCACACAUCUUCGAAUUCCUUUAUGUGCGCAUAUGGAUUUUCACUUUCCAUCCCAUGGAAAGUAAGAAGCAGAGGCACGAUGUGUGGCCUGAUAAUCAAUUGCUCUGUAGGAGGAAUGAUGCAAGAUGGUGCACUCAUCCUCGGAGGGUGAAUCCUGUCCCUCAUGGACCUAUACAAGUUCGAAUCAUUCUCCUGCAUGUGUUUUGAAUGUUGAUUCUCUGGCUGAUUCUCUAUGACUUCCAAAAUAAUCUCUAAUUCAGUAGCUCGUGGAGUCUCUAUCCGCACUAACCUUCCUUCUUGGUCUCUAAUCCAAUAGGGCAUGCACGGCUUCAGUUGGAACAAAACAAAGAAAAAGAAAAAAAAAAACAGAGCAUACGGAAGGAAAAACAGAGUAUGAAAAAUAAACUAAAAAUGAAAGUUAAAAGCUAAAAGAAACUUAUCUAAACUAAGUUAAAAAUAUUCUAAAACUAAAAUAAAAAGUUAGUAAAUGAAAAAUGAGAUAGAAUUCACCUCACUCAUGAGAAGUCUCACAAGUUAUCUCCGGCUGAUCUAUUCACAGUGAAGUAGCACCGUCCCCGGCAACGGCGCCAUUUGAUAACUCGACUCUUGGUAGCUUGGCAUGUAAGGGUAUCAACAAAAUUUAUACCUAAGGUCCUUACACUAAAGUAGCAAAACUACUAUAGCAUAGUGGCUCUAGGAUCGAACAUUGGGAAGGGUUUUUACUUUAACUGGUGAAGUUCGGAAGAUGGAGUGAACUUUUCUUAAUAAAAAUUAGGUUAAGAUGAAAACAUAAAAAGAUGAAGGUGUUGUAAACUAAACUAACAUGAAAAUAGGUUAAAAGAUGGAAAAAGAAGUUUCUCAAAGCUUUGGAUAGCCAUGCUUAACUCACUGUGUAAAAAUGGAGAUUUUAGGACUUUUCACCUCGAGUUGGGGAAGCAACUAAGGUGAUGUUUACUUCCCGAACCGGUAUGAGUUUAACAACUGAGUUUUAGUCCUUGAAAACUUACAAAAAGGGUAGCAAAAAAAAAAACCCCAUAAAUGCUCUUUUAUUGGUAUAGGUCAUCUCCUCGACUUGUAAUACAAUGGCUCGUAGGAGAUAACUAAUGAACGUCAGUGGAUCUAACAAUAAGAAUCCACUGAGACCAAAAGGUUAUCAAGUAUUGGCCAUUCAAAGCAAGUCAGAGGGAUUCAAAGCUUUACUUUGAAUGAAAACAUUUAUGACGCUCAGCUACUUACAUUUAUGGCUUGGAAAUCUCCAUCCUGACACAGGAGCUUCACAUGGCAUCCAUUACUUCAAGAAACUAAAAGGUUUUAGCCUCUCAUCCUUGGGAAUUUCAUCUUCCAAGGAUGUUUAGCUACUAAGAAAAUGAGAAAGAAAAGAGAAAAGAAGCGUAUGAACAAAAGUGCUCUUAUAACUUAUAAAGUUACAGGUUACAAGAUGAUCGUGUCUUAGGCUCUUCACCUCUAUUUAAAGACAAUAAAAAGCUAAAUUACAAGAGCUAUUACAAAAGCAACCUUUUCAUUGGUUGAUUACAAGGGUAAAAUAGGUAUUUACAAAGCUAAAAGUCAAGCAAAAUAUCUUGGAGAACCGGCAGUGGAAUAUCAUCAACAGCGUCUCAAAACAGGGGAUUUCAAAGGCAUUUCGCAAGGGGGGAAGAUGAAAGGUUCAAAUUUCACAAGGUGGUUUCUUCAUGGUGCGAAAUGGCCAAAUUUCGCACCAUGAGGAAAAUCCCCUUACGAAAUUUUGGCAAGGUGAAAUUCACCUUGUGAAAUGGUGUUCCCAUUGCUUGUGUUCGUGUUUCCACUUGAAAUUCAAGUCUGUAAACGUCCAAAAUCCUUGCUUAACUCGUACAAGUAGCUCCUCCAUCAAUUGGCAUGCUUGAAUUGGUUCAUAAGCUGAUGAAAAACAUCUAAACUUGCCACUAAAAAUGGUUAGAACUAAUUACUAAGGAGUUUAAUGAAUUAAUUGGGUUAAAUGAAUAUGAUUACUACUCAAAGGUGCUUAAAACCCUUAUAAUUAGGUCUACAAAAUAGCACUUUUUUGUAGUAAUCAUGCACCAUUUUUUUUAUGGACUCCUUAUUCUUCAAGGAACAUUCUAUCAAAAUUUCAAAAUUUUUCUCAAUUGGUUCAUCGAGUUAGCUUGUAUGGAGCACUGAUUUUGGUGAUUUUGGAGCCCAAUUCCUACAUGGCUUGGGCCUAUGGGCUCCAGAUCAGUUUUGGGCUAUAUUUUGGAUCCAUUUUGGGCCUUAUUUCGGAUUCCUUGCAGCCCACCAUGAAUCCGUAUGGAUCCUUGGUGGGGAAGUAAAUUGAAAGCUUAAGAUAGUCAGAUUGCAUGGAAAAUGAAGAGGAGAGUUAAUGGGGAAGCUGAUUCCGAGACUGACUGGAGCUCUUUCCAGAGCUUGAAAGAGAGAAAAACAAAGAGGCUUUGAUGGCUGGAGGUCUAGGACUAUAAAAGAGGAAAAAAAUCAGAUUUGAAGGGACUUCUUUUUUUUUUUUCUGAGAGGGAGAACUCUGUGGAAUCGUGGGGGAGGAAUUUUAUAAGAGGUUUUUGGAGGGUUUCUUUUUGUGAGUGGUCUGAGGGAGUGGAGUGAAGAGUUCCUCAGACUUUUGGGGGUCUCGGAUACAUUUGGAGAAGCUUUGCAAGCUAAAGGAGCACUUCUCAAAGGCUGGUUCUUUAGGUACGUUUUUGGUUUCUCACAGAACUCUUGCUUGCAUUCGGUUUCUCUUUCUGAUCGUUCCAGAAUGCUUAAUGCUUUAUUGAUUGGUGUGGAUGAAAAGGGCCACAAAUUGUUAUGUUCAAAAUUGGUUCUUUGUGUGCUUGCCAUGAUCUUCAUUCAGUUGAUGCCAUUGGUCCCGUUUGAUUUUAUUCAUGUUAAAAAUCUAUUUUGAAUCAUUCUCCCGUUUUUAUAAACACAUUGCCUUGUUUUGGUCGGUCUCCCUCAUCCGGGCUUGGAAUUGAGUGUUGUUGUUUUUUUUGGAUUCUUUAUUUUUUGGGGAAUCUAUUGUUAAAAUUUCAGAAAUUUUCUCAACCGAUUGUACUGGUUGGGAACCAGUUCAACAGGUCCUACAUGUCCAGUCCUGUUUUAUAAACACGUUUCCUUGUUUUGACCGUUUCUCUCUCAUCCGAGCUCGGAAUUGAGCACCGUUAAUUAUUUUGGAAUAUUUAUUAUUUUGGGAAUAUACUGUUAAAAUUUCGGAAUUUUUAUCAAUGAGUUGUACUGGUUGGGAACCGGUUCUAUAGGUCCUACAUGUCCAGCCCUGUUUUAUAAAUGCGUUGCCUUGUUUUGAUCGGUUCUCCCUCAUCCAGGCUCGGAAUUGAGUGCCGUUACUUUUUUUUUGGAUUUUUUUAUUCUUUGGGAAAUCUGCUGUUAAAAUUUCAGAAUUUUUCUAAAUUGGUUGGACCGGUUGGGAACCGGUUCAUCAGGUCCUGCAUGUCUAGCCUUUUUUUAUAAACAUGUUGCCUUGUUUUGGCUAGUUCUCCCUCAUCCGGGCUCGUAAUUGAGCACCGUUACUUUUUUUGGAUUCUUUAUUAUUUGGGGAAUCUACUGUUAAAAUAUCAGAAUUUUUAUCAACCGUUUGAACUAGUUGGGAACCAGUUCAAUAGGUCCUACAUGUCUAGCCCUGUUUUAUAAACACGCUGCCUUGUUUUGACCGAUUCUCCCUCAUCUGAGCUCGGAAUUGAGCAACCUUGCUUUUUUUUGGAUUAUUUAUUAUUUGGGUAAUCUACUGUUAAAAUUUCAUAAUUUUUAUCAACCGGUUGGCUGGUUGGGAACCGGUUCAACAGGUCUUACAUGUCCAACCCUGUUUUAUAAGCGCGUUGCCUUGUUUUGGUCGGUUCUCCCUCAUCCGGGCUCGGAAUUGAGCGCCGUUUCUUUUGUUGGAUUAUUUAUUAUUUGGGGAAUAUACUGUUAAAAUUUCAGAAUUUUUUUCUCAACCAGUUGAACCGGUCGGGAACCGGUCCAAUAGUCCUUGCAUGAUUAGCCUCGUUUUAGUAUGUUUUGACCCCUAUUUUUGUUAUGGCUUGAGCCCUUAGGCUCUGAGGCACUUGUGGGCUCCUUUAGAGUUUUAAAUGGGCUCUGAACUAAAUUAGAAUAGACCCACUUAAGAGCUAGAGGCAUUAGGGGUCAAGUAAGUUUGGUUUGAUUUGAUGUUGGAGAUUGGUGAAUUGUUGUUUGAGGGAAUGUGUAAGGAAAUAUAUAAUUGGGUGCUAUCAUUUCCAUUCACUUCCUCUUUAAGCGUGAAAUUUGAUGCUUGAUCAUGAAUGCCUACUAAAUACUUGUGUUUUUUGCCUCAUAUUUUCCUUGCAGCACAUGGCUAGGGACCUUAGGUAUGCACUCUGAUUUUUUACUUGUUGAGUGUAUGUGCAUGCUAAAUACUAGGUGGGUCUAUUUGAUUCAUGUCAUUUUUUUAGCCUAAGGUUUGUUUGAUCUUUGACCCAUAUGCUCCCAUAUACCCAUUUCAUCAGUAGAGACCGAGUUCCGGACUUAGAGGGGUGCUACCUCGCGUGAGGUACCUUUCUGAUAGGUUACCUGAUCCCUGGACCUAGAAUCUAGUUUUCGCAAACCGUUUUUUCCUGAUUGGAGUCAUGAUGAGGUUUUCGUUCUUACUUAAAUUUUCCCCAUUUAAAAAUAAAAAUAAAAAGUAAGUGGCGACUCCAAACAAAACCGUUCCUCACUGGAACGAAUUUUUCAAAACUCGAAAAUCAGCUUUCCUUUUUACUUUUUUUUAAAAAAAUAGCGAGUCGCGCCAGUCGGUGGAUCGGGUGAGGGUCCACACCCUGUCCAUUCAUUUGACAUUAUUGUUCACCCAUAUGUCUUCCAUUUGUCUCUUUGUUGGUUCACAUAUGCUUUCAUAUCUUUGUACUUAAUUUCCAAGUACUUAUUUUUUAUUUCACAUGGAGAUGGAGGUUCAAUUCCCAUUCCUACAAAUCAUAUGUAAGAUUGAAUCAUGUCACAAAAGACUACACCUACUCAAAGUAUGAAACAAUAUAAAAUUUGAGAACUUAGAAAUUACCUGCUUAUUAUGCAUUGAUGAUCAUAUUCUUGAAGUGGUGAGAGUUUGCUCGCGAUGCUAUCAUAAAUAAGAAUUUAAACGUUCCAUCAUUUCUUUAAUUGAACAACCCUUUGAUAUAUCUUUGAUAUUAUUAUUAUUUUUUUGCUCCAGAAGACUUAUAAAGGGAGAGUGCAAUAGGCGUUGAUGGGUUUAAAUGUCGCAUACUUUGUGAUUUUCGUAUUGUCGGUGUACCACUAGGGUGUGACGACUCCCUUAUUUUAUGUUUGCUUCCCAUAAUGGUUUCAUAUUGUUGUCACUCCCAUUCUGUUGCCUUAGAUGCAUGAACUACAUCUUGAUAAGCAUCCUACUCAUCUGGGUGCAUAUUGCUGGAUACAUGUACACUUCUUCAACCUCGUCAUCAUCGUUAUCCUCGUCCAUGACAUGUCUAUGCCUAGCCCCCAUAAUGCCAUGUAAUUGGGCACAAAUCUCUUCAAUAUUUGCAAUUUUCUUUGCUUUUGCUUUAGUAUUUUCAUGCAAUAUCUCUCGUAUCUCUUCUUUCACUUCGAGUGGCACUCUAGGACAUUCUUUGGUUUUGUUCUAUGGGUCUUUAUGCGCUAAAUGAUACUUGAAUCGAGUGAUGCCUCCACUCUUCAUCAACAGUUCACAAUUAUUGCAAAUUAUCCCAUUUCGAUUCCCUUUUUUCUGGUGAACAAUACUUCCAAGCUAGAUCUUGGCUGAACAUGCCACUCCCACCUCCUCCACCUCCACCUCCACUUCCACUAGCCAUUGCAAAUCUAUUGAAUAUGUAUUAAUUAAUUACAAUUGAAUAAAAAAAUAAAAUUAAACAAUUAAUUAAAAAUGAACUUAUUGCAAGUCUGCCAAUUCAUUAAAAAUGUACUAAUUAAUUACAAUUGAAAAAAAAAUGAAGAAAUUAGAAAGCUACUGAUAUUGUUAAUUAAAUUAAUUAAUUAACUAAGCUAAGUUAAUUUAUGAAAAUAUACUAAUUCAUUCAAAAUGCACUAAGUAAUUACAAUUGAAAAGAAAGAUAAUAUUGAAGAAAUUGGAAAGCUACUAAUAUUAUUAAUUAACUUAAUUAAUUAACUAAGUUAAUUUAUGAAAAUCUUCUAAUUCAUUCAAAAUGUACUAAUUAAUUACAAUUGAAAGAAAAAAUAAUAUUGAAGAAAUUGGAAAGCUACUAAUAUCGUUAAUUGUAUUAAUUAAUUAGCUAAGCUAAGUUAAUUUAUGAAAAUAUACUAAUUCAUUCAAAAUGUACUAAUUAAUUACAAUUCAAAGAAAAAAUAAUAUUGAAGAAAUUCGAAAGCUCCUAAUAUUGUUAAUUAAAUUGAUUAAUUAGCUAAGCUAAGUUAAUUUAUGAAAAUCUACUAAUUUAUUCAAAAUGUACUAAUUAAUAACAAUAAAAAAGAAAAAAAAAAUGAAGAAUUUAAAAAUGUAAUAAUUAAUUACAAUUCAAUACAAAAAUAAUUAAAAUUUAAAACAAACAUACCUUACAAAAACUGAGCAACCUUAGGACUUAAAUUUAAUUCACAAACUUCACUUAUAAAUUCCCAAAUUUAUAAGAAUUUGAGAAUAGUAAAAAAAAAUUCAUGAACAAUGAGAGAUCAAAGAUGAAAUGUGGAUGAAAUUGGUGAAAAAUGAGCUAUUUAUAGUAUUAAAAAAAUUAGGCCAAAAUAGUUGUUGGAAUCUCAUUUUACCAUUGGAUCGAAAUCUGGAUGAAAUUUGACCGUUGGAUCACAUCCAAGUUCAAUUUGGGCCAUCAGAUGCACAACCAAGUAAUUGUUGAAGCUUAAGCAUGAUCUGGGUCGUUAGAUCAAUGUGGGGAGCUCACAACCAUUGGAUCAGUGCAACAAGGAGGUGCUGAUUUUUUGCUAAAAUAUCGUUGAAAAAUUGGUCGCUAAUUGUAGUAGCCAUCAAUUUUUCAACAUUUUCUGAUUAAUCGGUAAAAACCAAAAUUUCGCUGAAAUUUCAUAGAAACACAACGAUUUUUUUGGAUAUUUCUACCCUCAGACAUUUCGACCCCUGUUUCACUUCCAUUGAUUUUUAAGAGAGAUUAUUCACAUAUUGGAGGAGACAUGUAAAUAUGAAAAAUGAUUCCUUUUGGAGAGCGGGACACUCAAGGAGUUUUUACACAACAUCUUGAGAUUUUAAGAGGGAAGGGCUGCCACUCAUAGACUGGAUUUUUUAAAGACAAAAAGAUUGUAGGCACCGAGGACAUUGAGAAGAUUCACAUCAGGAUAUGGAGGGAUGCAACAGAAUUUUUGGAGGGUUUUCCUACACGCAUAAGGAGAUCAUGAAGGUUUCUGAAAGUGGUAACCAGGUCGUGAAAUUUUCGAAGACUUCUAUCACAUUCCAUAAAAAACAAUGAACUGUCUUGAAGAUUGAACUAGAACAACCAGCCUGCGUCUUCAACAACAUGAUCAACACGCACGAUUGAGCUUUAUUUUGGAUCCGAGACACACCAUUGCAAGAAAAAAGAAAAAAAGGGAAGCACAGGUUCACACACUAGGGAGAUUGGUCAGCAUGCAUCCAUUGAAGAUUUGGCUCAAAAAACAGCACGCAUCCGUUGAAGAUUUGGGUUCCAAAAACAACACGCAUCCAUUGAAGAUUUGGGGGGCUCCAAAGUAGCACGCACCAUGGAGAGUUAUUGAGCAACACAAAGAUUUUCUGAAAAGAGUAGGCUGCCAUUUAGGAGAAAUGUAAAGACACAUGGGCUGCACCAUGAUGGAAAAAAACACCAAAACGCAUUGGGAGGCCGUCUCCCUCUUCCAAAGGUGAGAGCCCAUGCACAACCCACCACGAGAGGAUCACGACUACAUGUGAUUUCAACAAGGCAACAUGCAUCAAAAAGCCACCACGCAUACUGAGGACUUCUUGCAGCACCAUGGACAUCACAAAAUAAGGUAAGAAACAUUAGUUUUUUUUUUAGCCAGUCCAUAAACUCCAAGAACCAACUUCCAUAUCCAUUAAGAGGAGGGUCCCGUAGCCAACACACAUAUACAAAAGAGAAAUAUAGUCCAUACACGAUCUUGUAUAUCCACGGGCAGUCCACACGCAUCCGUUGGAGAAGGUAAGUUUUUUUGAUUCAUUGAUUUAGAUUGAAAAAUUAUGAUCUAGUUUAGUUUAGUUUCAAUUUAUUAUUUUUAUUUAAAAGGUUAGAAGUUUGUUUAAUUAGCUUUGAUUCAUUACAAUAACCUAGAAAAGUUUGAAAUAUGUUUAAUUUGGUUUUGAUUCUUCAUAUAGGUUUGAAAGGUUGAAGUUUGGCCUAAUUUGAUUUUGAUCCAUUUGUUAGUUUUAAAAGUUGGAUUUUUCAUGUUUUUAACUUUGUUUUGGUUUAGUCUUGAUUCACCUUUUUGAGUUAGGGUGUAUAUAUAAUCUUAGUUUAUUGACCUACAUGAUCCAUAAUGAUAAAGUUCUUAUUUUUAAUUUUGUUUUAGUUAGUUUUAAUUUAUCUCUUUAGUUUAGAUGUUUUCAUAUUUUAAUUCAUUAGUUCAACUAAUCCAAUGUUGUAAAAUUCAUGUCUUUACUUUUGUUUUGAUUUGCUUUGAUUCAUCUAUUUAGUCUAGGCGUGUUUAUAAAUUUUAGUUCAUUAAUAAAAUUGAUUUUAUGUUUGAAAAUUCAUGUUUUUAGUAUACAUUGAUUUAGUGCAAUUCAUCUAUUUAGUUUAAAUACUUUUAUAGUUUUAGUUCAUCGAUAAUAUUGAUUCAAUGUUUGAAAGUUCAUGUUUUUAGUUUGCUUUGAUUUUAUUUAGUUUAGGUUCCUUUAUAAUUUUAGUUCAUUAAUAAAAUUGAUUCCAUGUUUGAAAGUUCAUGUUUUUAGUUUACUUUCAUUUAAUUUGGUUCAUUUUAAUUAGUUUACUUUGAUAGUUUUAGUUAAUAAAAUUGAUUCCAUAUUUGAAAGUUCAUGUUUUUAGUUUGCUUUGAUGUAAUUUGGUUCAUUUUAAUUAGUUUAGAUACUUUGAUAGUUUUAUUUUAUUAAUAAAAUCGAUCCCAUGUUUGAAAGUUCAUUUUUUUUUUAGUUUACUUUGAUUUAAUUUAAUUCAUCUAUUUAGUUUAGAUACUUUUAUAGUUUUAGUUCAUUAAUAAAAUUGAUUCUAUGUUUCAAAGUUUAUUUAUUUUUAAUUUGCUUUGAUUUAGUCUAGCUCAUUUUAAUUAGUUUAGGUACUUUUGUAAUUUUAGUUCAUUAAUAGGUACUUUGAUUCAGUCUAACUCUUUCUAAUUAGUUUAGGGACUUUUAUAAUUUUAGUUCCUUAGUAUAAUUGAGCCCUUUUUUUUUUAGUUUUUUUUUAAAUCAUUAAUAUGAGUUCCUACUUAUCCUUUAUCUUAAUUUGUAUGCUUUUAAAAUCUUAAUGGUUAGUUCAUGAAUCAAUAUUUUAUUAGUUUGUCUAAUCUAAAAUGCUUUGCUUGUUGCUUUAGUGAUCCUUCAUUUAAUAUAUAUAUAUAUAUUCCUGAGGCCCUUAGAAACUUAUGAAGAUUGGUUGCUAGAAAAUCUCACUUUGUUGUAGGGACCUCUCCCCACACAUGGCACACAUCCCCUAAGGACACGUGGCACACAUUCUCAUCCGGAUCAACCUCAUCCGGAUUUCCCCAAGAAUACACGUGGCGCGCUUCUUCUAUCCGGAUUCCCUCAAGGAGAGGCACACGACACUCACAAAUAUAACAUCCGGACGACGGCCACAGCACAUCCGGACGACCGACAUACACUAUCCGGGUAUGUUUGUCUGGAUCAUUGACUGAAGUAAGCAAGUCUUACACGUUAUCACAACAGCCUGUCGUGGCCCACGUUCCGCCACCUGCAGGGUGAAAGGACAAGAAUGAAGUGACGGCAAGUCACUUCCUGCGAUCACUUCCCACGAUUUCUGACAGUCGCAGCAACUACCACGAUCUCUGUCAGCCGCCCGUAGGGUGAUGAUGGCCCUGCCACCACCUAGUGUCAUCAUGACAACACAAAAUAUCUCCCUACCAUUAAAGAGGGAAACAAAAGCUUCUGAUACUAUAUAUAUGAACCUUCACACAAAGAGGAAGGUAAGCUUGCUAUACCUAGUAAAAGGCCAACUGAUUUAUCUCUCUCUCUAACCAUGGCUGACAAAACCAUCGGAGGGUGCGUCCGGACACCCUGUUCGGAUGCCUUUUGCAGGUAUUACGAUUGAAUCAAGAAUUUGUAUUGGUUGAGAUCGUGCGUCCAUCCAUUUGGCAACUACGUGGAUCACCAAGGACGCGAGGCCUCAACAUCGGCGCCGUCUGUGGGAACAUAUCACUGAUUCAGUCACCAGUAAAGAUGGCCACACCUUCCCGAAGUCGUUCAUCUGGUAGGGGAGAGGAAGAUAAAUCUGAAUGGCGCCAAGCCAUCGAAAGAAGAUAGUUGGCAAGCGAACGACAACUGAAAGCUCUCCUCCAGGAGACAGAAAGAUUAAGAGAGGAAAACGCGGUACUACGCAUCCAGGCUUCAACAUCGGGGCCUCCUCGUCAUCAGCAUUCGAGAGGCCAGGUAGCAAACUCGAGGCUAGAACCAGAGUCAAUAUAUCCUGGGGCAGCGGGAGUUAUCCCAGAAACAUACAACGCGAGGCCACAUGAGCCACACACGCCCAUGCCUUGAGCUCCCCGGGAGGAAAGCUUGGACUCCACUCAUUUCUCAGCAAAAAUACAACGUGAUAGAAAAUCCUAGUUGUCAAAUUCAAUGCGAGCGAGACUAGGCCCACAAGAGCCUGGGAGAUCAAGACCACCAGCAGCCACAACUGGGGCAGCAUGCCCUGACCCUGUGGUCACCCCCAUGGUGCAGAACGUGCUCCCGCACCGUGACCCUAUAGUCACCCCCAUGGUGCGGAACGUUCACUCGCACUUAGCGGCGCGUCAAGAUGGGAGAAACCUCCCAAAUGAGCCACCCAUUGGCUCUAUCAGCAAAAGGCUGGACGACAUGCUCUCCACGCCUUUCUGCUCUCACAUCAUUCAUUACGAGCUCCUAAGGGGAUUCCUCGUACCAAAAUUCUCCACAUACGAUGGGUCCAGCGACCCCUUCGACCAUAUCAUGCAUUAUCGACAGCUCAUGACGCUCGAUAUUGGCAACGACGCGCUGUUGUGCAAAUUAUUCCCCGCCAGUCUACAAGGACAGACCCUUUCAUGGUUUCAUCGCCUACCUCCCAAUUCUAUUGGCAAUUUCAAGGACAUGUCCGGAGUUUUCGUGGGACAAUACUUGUGCUCCGCUCGACACAAGCAGAACAUCAACACUCUGCAAAACAUAAAAAUGCAGGAUAACGAAUCCUUAAGGGACUUCGUGAAGCGGUUUGGUCAAGCCGUGCUUCAAGUAGAGGCUUGCAGUAUGGAUGCUAUCCUACAGAUCUUCAAACGAAGCAUCUGUCCAGGCACACCAUUUUUCAAAUCACUAGCUAAAAAGCCUCCUACAGCGAUGGACGACUUGUUCAGACGUGCAAACAAACACUUAAUGCUCGAAGAUGACGUACGAGCAGCCACCCAGCAAGUCCUAGUUGCUGGGCAAGCAUCUAGGAGUGGCACGGAAAGAAGUGCCAAACCUCCGGAUCGGCCGAGGCCAUCUGAUCGAAGAUAGGAGGGACCAAGUCGCCCGGAAAGGCCACCCCUCACACCUCUUUCCAUAUCAUAUGAAAAACUUUUUCUUAUGAUCCAAGGUUUGUCUGACUUCAGGUGGCCUAGACCCCUCGGAACGGACCCAACCAAGAGAGAUCAUAGCAAGAAAUGUGCCUUCCACAAGGAGCAUGGUCACAUAACGGAAGAAUGCAGAUGCCUCCAUUAUUUGGUUGAAAGGCUCAUAAGGGCGGGACACUUAAAGCAAUACCUCCGCUUAGAAGCUGGAGGUAGAGAUGCUUCCCAAAAUCACAACUUUGGAGCCCUCAGGGCCCCGGCCGCCCCCAAGGCCGUUAUAAACUACAUUAACGGAGGCCCAUCUGACGAGGAAUAUGACUCCAAACGAAAGAGACAAAAGUUGUUAAGAGCCGCAUCAGUACGUGAGCGUAUCAACUCCAUCCGACCUGGACUAACUGGAGAGGGCCCUCGCCCCAUAGAUGGGACAAUCAUUUUCCCACCAGUAGACCCCACCCGGACACUGUAGCCCCACCGCCACGCCCUCAUCCUAUCCCUAGAGAUAGGAGACUUCGAUGUGAGACGCAUUCUGGUUGACCCAGGCAGCUCGGCUGAUCUUGUACAAGCAUCGGUCGUUAGCCACAUGGGCCACAAUCUCACGGGCCUUGAAAACCCUGGGCGAAUCCUGUCCGGAUUCAAUGGGUCAUCAACUACAUCCUUGGGAGACAUUGUACUGUCGGUCCAAGCUGGCCCAGUCACUCUCAAUGUACAAUUUUCGAUGGUACAAGAUUUAUCACCUUUCAAUGUCAUCUUGGGGUGCACAUGACUACAUUACAUGAAAGUCAUCCCCUUUACAUAUCAUCAAAUGGUAAGUUUCCUUACCAAGGAUGGCCAAAUUGAUCUAUAUGGCAGCCAGUUAGCUGCUCGCCAAUGCUACCAGAUAGCACGAGAAACAGGGACCAACCAGGAGGAUGCAUCCCUUCCUGAGUCCAGCAAUGCAGGUGACCAAUAGCAAUUAUUAGGUCCGGUGGACGAAGAUCCCCCGGCAACAGAUCCCUUGCAAACAGUCCAAAUUUCGGGAGAAAGUACUCACCUUACAAAUAUCAGUUCCUCCUAACACCAGAAGAAACCCGGAACAUACAGAACGCCUUUAGACGAAACCAUGACAUCUUCGUAUGGACACAUUCUGAUAUGAAGGGAAUUCAUCCCUUUGUGGACCAGCAUUUUUCACGUGCGCCCCCACUCGAUCGGCGAGACUUGCUUUUUAUUUGUGAAAAAUUAAUUUUUGGAAAAAGUUGGAGUCGCCACUUAUUUUAUUUUUAUUUUAAAGGGAAAAUAAAACAAGAAAGAAAAACCCUAAAAUGUGACUCCAUAAUUUUUGGAAAAAACAUGUCUUUGAAAAACUCGAGUCUAAGUCCGGGGAUCAGGUUACCUAUUGGGAAGGUACCUUUAAAAGGUAGCACCCCUCUAAGCCCUCUAAAGGUCUCUACUAAUUAAGUUGAGGGAAAUGUGGCAAUUAAUUGAUUAAUUAUAAGUACCUAAGUAGGCUAGGUGAUUCCAAAUAAAAUAGCAUGCCAAACAAGAUCAAAUCACAAUAAAGGAAGGUUAGGAUGCGUACCUGGACUACCUCUCAAGCGCUAUCACAAAACAUCAAUGGUUAAUUUAAACAAUAUAUCAUCCAGCAUGUAUUUUAUUAGAAAUAAUCAAACAAUGAAACAUGUAUAACAGAACGCUCAAGCAUUAUUAGACAUAAGCAUUAUUUCACAAUGACCAGCAUAUUCACAGAAUUUAGAAAGUAGGUGAUAGAGGACAUACCUGGAUAGCAUAGAUAAUUUGUAACGUGCUUCCUCAAGUUGUAAGGGGUUAGAUAAUAAAUAAUAAAAUAUAGAAAUCCUAACAUGCUCGUUAUCUAAUUAGCAUAGCAAAAGUGAUCAAAGUAUGCAGAAUAAUCAAUUAUCACAUACAUUUUGUAUUUAAUUCCAAAAAAAAUAGAUAGACGUGAUUUCAACAAGUGUCAAAUGUGGCAACAAAAAUAAAUUUCGAAAAGAUAUUCUUAUGUAGGGGUUUCACCAAUUCCCCAAAUUAAUAUACACAAAUUUAGCCUAGAAUUAUCCCAUUCAUUUGGGACCACAAGCUUUGAUUCGUGUUUUUGUUCAAAACCAAAAUUUUUGUUGAAAACCGAGAAGGAUGCAAACCGAACAAGAUAUGGUUGCAUAUUAUUUUUAAAUAAAUAAAUAAAAGAGAUUUUGAUCCUGAGGACUCUAAUGAGUUUUUGAAAUAGAUUUUUAAAAUGAUUUUUUGAGAAAAGUAUUUUAUUUUAAAAUAAAAGGGGUUAAUUUGGGAAAAAAUAAAAUAUAAGAAAUAAAAUACCAAACAAAACAAAAAUGAAACCUCAAAGUAGAAUUUUUUUAGUAAUUAACAAAAAUGAUAAUGGUGAUGGUAGAGGCCAAUCUUCAUGAUUUUCCAAUGGCCUCAGAAAGAGAAAUCAAAUUAAAUGAAGGAUCACUAAAGCAACAAGCAAAGCAUUCUAGAUUAGACAAGCUAACAAGGUAUCGAUUCAUGAACUAACCGCUAGGAUUUUAAAAGCAUAUAAAUUUAGAUAAGGGUGAUCAGGAUCUAACAUUAGUGAUUUUGAAACAAAAACUAAAAAUGGAUCAAUUCAGGUAAGGAACUAAAAUUAUAGAAGUACCUAAACUAAUUAAAACGAGUUUGACUAAAUUAAACUAAAAACGUGAACUUUCAAACAUAGAAUUAAUUUUACUAAUGAACUACAAUUAUAAAAAUGCUUAAACUAAUUAAAAUGAGCCAAACUAAAUCAAAGCAAACUAAAGAUAUGUACUUUCAAGCAUAGAAUUAAUAGAAAAAUGGAAUUAAAAAAUCUUAACAUAAACUAAACAAUAUGAAACCAAUCGAAUUAAUUAAAACUCUAAAGAAUAUCAACUAAAGCAGGAUCAAUCAAAACUAAAAUAACUUUUUUUCUUUAUUUAUUUUAAAACAUGAAUAUAUCAACGUGGAAUGAAAUAAAUUAACCAACUUAAAUUCUAAAAUUAAUAAACUAAAAGAAUGAAUCAUGAAUUAGAUUUAACAACCUUUAGAUAUGAAAAGAUGUGACAUGGAAUCAAUUGAACUAAUAAACUGAAUUUAAUAACAUCUAAACUAAAAGAUAAAUUAAAACUAAACUAAAAGAAAUUAUGAAUUUCCUAAUUGAGAAAAAAAAAUAAUAGUAAUAAAGCUAAUCAAAAUUCUAAAUUUUAAACCAUUAUCAUGAAUUGCCCAAACUCUUAAAAAUCCUAACCUUUCCAUUAUCAACAAGAAUUGCCUAAACCAAUAUUUAAUAAUGUUAAUCAAAAUUCUAAAUUUUAAACCAUCAUCAUGAAUUGCCCAAACUCUUAAAAAAAAUCCUAACCUUUCCAUUAUCAACAAAAAUUGCCUAAACCAAUAUUUAAAAAAAAAAAAUCUAAUUUGUCAAACUAAACAAAUAAAUUGUAAUUAUGUUAAACAAAAAUCAUAAUCUUCAAGCUAGGAUAAUAAAUCAAAAUUAAUUUAUUUAGUUAAGAAAAAGAAAUUAAAAUUAACAUUUAAACUAAAUAUGAAUUUACAAUAAAAAAAAUAAAAUAAAAUUUAAAAAUGCAUAGGCCAAAUAGGAAUAAUUUUAAAACUAAAUCAUGAAUAUAAUGUUAUUGGAAAUAAUUAAACCUAAACAAUAGAUAAAAUCCUAAACAAGUAUGAAUUGAAUUGAAUAUUUCAUGAAACGAAAUUAUAAUAGCAUGAAUUAGAUUACCUUAAAACGUGAAGGCCACUUUCCACCAGUAAGAGUUUUUAAUUAAAAAAAACAAUUCCAAAGGUGACUUGUGUGAUGGAUAUCCAUGCACAGCAAGUCCUCAAAGUGCUGCACGUUAGUGGAGAGGAAUUUCCUUUGACAGCGUGCACACUUGUGCUCUUGAAGAUGAAGUCGUGAAGAUCUGUAGAGUGGUGGAAGCCUUUCCCUUAAAAUUCUGGUGCGCUUGUGGUGUUCAGGUAGCGGGAUUGACAAGCUGGUGUGGAUCUCCAAUGGUAGUUGGGUGUUUCCGGAGAUGCAGCCUUGAAGAUUCCCUCAGAGUGACCUACUGCUGGUGCGUGUCUUCUAUGGGAUUUGUGUUGCGUGCUGGUCCUCUUGACGGUGAGGAAUACGGCUGUGUGCUUGCAGUCCCCCUCCCCAUGGAAGCCCCCCACUUUCAGAGAAUUUGUGGCCGCUCCUCCUUCCCAUGCGUGGUAGAUGCCUCCUUCUUAAAAUUCUGGUGCGUCUCCUCUAUCCAAAAAAAAUCUCUACGUUCUUUCUUUCCUUUUUCCAAAAAAUCCCCCCUCCUUCUCUACUGCCCCCUUCCUUUUUCAUAUGGUAGCCUCACAUCUUUUCGGAAUAUUUUCUUUCCUUUUUUUUUUAAUGCGCAUGGAUAUCCCGAAAGUGUGUACAUGGUGACUCACUCAUGGUAGCUUAGCUUUAAAGGCGUAUCAACAAAAUUUAUACCUUAAAUACUAUUACUAAAGUAGCCAAGCUACUAUAGCAUAGUGGUUCUAGGAUCGUUCACUGGGAAGGGUUUUCGCAAACACUAGUCAUAUGCAAAUUAGGAAAAUAGGUGAUUUUCUUAUGGAUGUUAGCUUUAAAAGAAGAUGUAAAUGUUUUAGAAAGAUUUAAACUAAUCUAAGCUAACAUUAAAGACUAAAAUGAAAGGGUGUAAAAACAAGUUUCUCAAAGAUAGGAUAGUUAUGCUCUGGCUCUUAUGCAAAUUGGAAAUCUUAGGAUAGGCUCCUCGUGUUGGGGUUGCAACUAUGGUGAUGCUUGCUUCCCGAACCGGUAUGGAUUUAGCAAAUCAAUUUUUAAUCCUUUAAAAUGACAAAACAGAUGGUAGUGAAUUUCAUCAAUGGUUAUUCACCUUAGACUUCCUUUGAAUGGCUCGUAAGAGAUAACUAAUGGUCUAAAGCCAAAAGCUUACCAAAUAUUGGCAACUCAAAGUCAUUCCAGGUGAUAAACUCACCUUUCAAUGGCCAUUGGAAUUGGUUCUAAUGGAUUAAUGCGAAACUUGGAAUUGAAAACCUCACCUUCCAAUAGCUCGUAGGAGAUAACUAAUGGAUAGAAAUCCAAAAGCUUAUCAAGUAUUGGCCGUUGGAAGUUGUCCAAAUGAAAUAAAAACCAAACUUUGCAUUAAUGAACCUUUAAUGAAAAAUGACUACCUUACCUUCUGGGUGCGAGAAAUUUCCAUGGAAUUGCAUUCAAGUCAUCACAUAACAUCCAUACUUUGAGAAACUAAAAGUUUUAGCCAAUCAUCCUCUAAGGAAAAGCCCUCAGAGGCUGUUUGGCUACUAAGAAAAUAGAAAUGGGAAAGAACAGGAGAAACGAGAGAGCUCUGUAUAUUUUCUAAGUGUAAAACCCAAUUUUAGAAAUCUCAUCCAUCCAAAACUUUUUAAAAAUCGAAUUUCAAAACCAUUCCAUGCAUGGCCGUCCACUUUGAUUUUCAUUUUCCAUCAUUUAAUUUUGUUUUUCAUCAUUAAAAAACUACCCAAACACCUUAGGAAUCUUGUUUAGAGCCUAACCAUACCUUUUAAAAAACCAUUUUUGAAUUUUUUCCCAAAACUUGGAAAACACACAGUCGGGCUUCAAAGGAGGUGAACAGUGACUGUGCCAAUUUUGGCACUCACUGUUCACUCCUCCUUUGUUUUCCCCUGUUUUAGCCAAAAAUCUCCAAUUUUAACACCCCUGCAAGCUACAUUCAAAUGUCAUUGCAACUUAUAUGAAUAUACCAUCAUGGCAUGGACCCUUUGAGCCUUGUCCUCAGCUGCUCAAAGUGGGGCCCACUCAUCAUUUUUGUAAAUAUUUAGUAUAAAUUCCUCUCUCAUUCAAUUUUUGAAUUUUGAAACAGGUGGUUCAACCUUCCCAACUCCAAGUCCACAUCACAUGAGGUACCACUUCCUUCCUCCUUAUUUUCGAUUCAAACAUUGAGGACAAUGUUCAUCUCGGUUGGGGGGAGAGUUGAGGAAGUAAGUAUUUCCUAUUUUAGUUAGUUAUUUUGUUGAUUUAGUAGUUUUUGCCCUUUUUCAAAAUUUUUUGUUUCAUUCUCUAUGGUUGUUAAAGAUAAUUUCUCAAAAUAAAAUAGGAUAAGUCGAGUUUUAACUUAAUUACUUAAGUCUUAGAGUUUGUUUUAUGCUUUCAAAGUUGAUAAUCUAUUGAAGCCCUCUUUGAUUUCGAACUUAUUUCUUCCAUUUCAAGCUUUACACACACCGUGCACAUUAGAUCCCAGAUUUAUGAUGUAAAACUUUCUCACCCUCUAAGCUUAGGAAAAUUUUGACUUGGUUUAUUACUUAACCUCUUUUUAAUAGUGUUGGGACACCUCAAAAAGACCAAUGAGUCUUAGAAAAAGAAAAAGAGAAAAAAAAAAGAAAAAGGAAAAGAGAAAAAGAAAAAGAAAAAGAGAAUAAGCUUCUAUUCUUUCCUUGAAACCUAAGCAUGAUCCGAAGGGGUGGCGAAAGCCUUUAAAACCAGAUGCCCUAAACCUUGAUUGGUUGGGAGUCAUCGAUCCUCUGCUUGCUAUAUAGGUGAAUUGGUUAAGUUUAGUGAGUGAAAAGAAUUGUGAAUAAGAAGGUGCGUUCCUAACCUAUUAAGAGUUGGUUAAUUUUGCCAAUGUUCGAGAAAAGCUUAGGUUGGGGGGAGAGGACAGUUGUACAUACUAUAUCCGGAAGCUAAUCUCAUUAACACUUAGCUCAUUAUGGAAGAGUUUGAUCUGGAACCUUGAGAGUAGAGAUUCUUUUGAUACUUAAUUGCAUAAUCUUCACUCUUUGUACUUUUUGUUUAAGUUUUAGCUUUGACAACUACUAUUGCAUUUUGAAUCUUCAUAUCUUUAGUUCACCAUGUGAGAUGUGUUUUGAUAUCAGUCAUGCCACUCAAUUAUUUUUUGGAGUGAUUUGCAUGAUCCCUUUUAUGUAUAUUAUUAUAGUUUACUUAGUUUUUAUCUCCUCCAUUGCUAAGGGACUAGCAAUGAGUCGGUUGGGGGGUGUGAUUACUACAAAAAAGUGCUAUUUUUUAGACCUAAUUAUAAUGGUUUUAAUCACCUUUGAGUAGUAAUCAUAUUCAUUUAACCCAAUUAAUUCAUUAAGGUCCUUAGUAAUUGGUUUUAACCAUUUUGUGGCAAGUUUACAUGUUUUUAUCAGCUUAUGAAUCGAUUCAAGCAUGCCAAUUGAUGGAGGAGCUAUUUGGGCAAGUUAAGCAAGGAUUUUGGACAAUUACAGGCUUGAAUUUCAAGUGGAAACACGAGCACAAGCAAUGGAGAAGAGGAAAACAGAGUGAAGAAAACAGCUGCAGUCUUCUUUUGCACUUUUAAAGCACUUCCUGAAGUCCAUUUUCUACAUGCUAUAUACCAUUUCAAAGCUCAGGAAGUCAAGAAUCCAAAGCUUCAAACCGUGUAUGAUUUGGAGCUGAAAUGAGGAAGAUAUAGCCUUCGGAAGACAACUGCAUCUCACCUUGCGAAAAUUUCGCAAGGAGAUUUUCUUCAUGGUGCGAAAUGGCAAAAUUUCGCACCAUGAAGAACCCCCUUGCGAAAUUUCGCAAGGUGGAUUUAGGCACAUUGUGAAAUUCCUUUGAAUCCCCUGUUUUGAGACGUUGUUGAUGUUAUUCCACUGCCGGUUCUCCAAGAUAUUUUGCUUGAUUUUUAGCUUUGUAAAUACCUAUUUUACCCUUGUAAUCAACCAAUGAAUAGGUUGCUUUUGUAAUAGCUCUUGUAAUUUAGCUUGUUAUUGUCUUUAAAUAGAGGUGAAGAGCCUCAGAUCAUCAAAUCUGGUAACCUGUAACUUUAUAAGUUAUAAGAGCACUUUUGUUCAUACGCUUCUUUUCUCUUUUCUUUCUCAUUUUCUUAGUAGCCAAACAUCCUUGGAGGAUGAAAUCCCCAAGGAUGAGAGGCUAAAACCUUUUAGUUUCUUGAAGUAAUGGAUGCCAUGUGAAGCUCCCGUGUCAGGAUGGAGAUUUCCAAGCCAUAAAUGUAAGUAGCUGAGCGUCAUAAAUGUUUUCAUUCAAAGUAAAGCUUUUAAUCCCUCUGACUUGCUUUGAAUGGCCAAUACUUGAUAAUCUUUUGGUCUCAGUGGAUUCUUNNNNNNNNNNNNNNNNNNNNNNNNNNNNNNNNNNNNNNNNNNNNNNNNNNNNNNNNNNNNNNNNNNNNNNNNNNNNNNNNNNNNNNNNNNNNNNNNNNNNUAUUGUUAGAUCCACUGACGUUCAUUAGUUAUCUCCUACGAGCCAUUGUAUUGCAAGUCGAGGAGAUGACCUAUAUCAAUAAAAGAGCAUUUAUGAGGUUCAACUACCCUUUUUGUAAGUUUUCAAGGACUAAAACUCAAUUGUUAAACUCAUACCGGUUCGGGAAGUAAGCAUCACCUUAGUUGCUUCCCCAACUCGAGGUGAAAAGUCCUAAAAUCUCCAUUUUUACACAGUGAGUUAAGCAUGGCUAUCCAAAGCUUUGAGAAACUUCUUUUUCCAUCUUUUAACCUAUUUUCAUGUUAGUUUAGUUUACAACACCUUCAUCUUUUUAUGUUUUCAUCUUAACCUAAUUUUUAUUAAGAAAAGUUCACUCCAUCCUCCGAACUUCACCAGUUAAAGUAAAAACCCUUCCCAGUGUUCGAUCCUAGAGCCACUAUGCUAUAGUAGCUUUGCUACUUUAGUGUAAGGACCUUAGGUAUAAAUUUUGUUGAUACCCUUACAUGCCAAGCUACCAAGAGUCGGGAUAUCAGUAUCUAGGGUGCUCACACUACUGAAACAACCAGUAAACCAAUCAUCUGCUAGAAUCAAUGGGUCAAGAACCAAUACAUCAUGACAAACCUCUGAAAAGUCAAAACUGAAAGAGGCCUCUGUGUUUGAAAAACUGCUCUGUCGACGAAUCUCAAAAGGUAAACCUCAAAGCGUGUAUAUCGUGGCUCAUCUAAAAGCAAAUCUCAAAGUGCACAAAAUGGUGCUUGUUCGGAUAACCCAAUCGACAAGGUAAUAAUGACGAAAACAAAUCUGUCUCGUGAACAUCUGGCUAAAGGAUCCACCCACGCUCCUCGGGUGAAACUUGAUGCGAUCCAUCUCUAUCUCAACAAAUCCAUGUAGGGAGGCCCUGAUACAGUCGAUCGUCGGAAGCUCUGGGCUAGUAAUCAAUCUAAAACCAAGCUGGUCACUGUCUCAAUCUCAAGGAUACUCAGAAAGUAGGGAAAUAUGCCCCAGUAUGAGACCUGAUGUCAAAGUCAUAAGCUAAACAACCGACACCAAUCAUCCAUCCUCAUAUCACUGCCCAAAUAAAUCUCGUAAUGGAGAGGGGAAUAUGCCCCAUUAUGGAUAUCGGAUGUCAAAGUCAUGAGGCAAACAAACUAACAAUGAUCAUCCAUCCUCGUACCGCUGUCCAAACACAAUCUCAUCAAGGAGAGGGGAAUAUGCCCCAGUGUGGAUAAUCUAAUGCACAAUAAAGAGUCUGUCAAAAUCAACCAAACAUCUCUAUAACCAUGAAUAAAGAUAGUCAUGUCGUCCAAUAACAAAUA
RNAcentral lists this long non-coding RNA (61749 nucleotides) under Vitis vinifera (wine grape). RNAcentral describes it as "long non-coding RNA (VVIN_LNC001804)". The record is from RNAcentral. Lineage: Eukaryota; Viridiplantae; Streptophyta; Magnoliopsida; Vitales; Vitaceae.